UACACUUAGGAGUGUUAGAAUGCUCAAAACCCAACAGGUAGUUUCUGGAAGGUUUGUUGCGUAUACUUCAGAAAGGUUUCAGAGGGCAAGGUACUCCUCGCAUGAGUACUUCAGGGUCAAGAAUAUGAGGGAGACGAUUCUGAGGUCUGAGUUGGGUUGUCGUUACGAGUGAUGAGGAUUUCGUUAAUCGGUCGGUUAAGGCGGUGGACUUUUGAAACACAUGAACUUCGUAUGGUUAGGACCAUUCCAAUCUACGACGAAUGAUGACGACAGACUCUUUAUAGAAACAAUUGUUAGGCCGAUUUAAAAGAAACGUUUGUUAUAACGAUGGUGUAUCCCGAGUGUGCUCGACAAUGUAUUUUGUGCAGGCUUUCUAGUGCUUUCUCGAAAUUACCACUGUCACAUAUUGAACCGCGAUAAGCGAGUACUAGUAGUGAAAGUGAUUUGAUAACUAGUGACGAUACUUUUUAUUAUGAUCCAUCUCGGUACCUCUAUGAUCGCUUGGCACAUACAAGUUGUGUGUAUAUGUCAAAGCUAGUGGGAGUAUAGUUAGCUUCCUCGUAUUAUAUGUCGAUGACAUAUUACUCAUAGGAAACGACAUCCCGACCCUGUAGGAGGUUAAGUCCUAGCUUGGGAAGUGUUUCGCUAUGAAGGACCUCGGAGAGGCUGCCUAUAUUCUGGGAAUAAGGAUAGUGAGAAACAGGAGUAAAAGACUAAUAGGACUUAGUCAGAAUACUUACUUGGACAAGGUACUAAAGUGUUUUAGUAUGGAGAAUUCCAAGAAAGGGGAGUUACCGAUCCAAAGCAAUGCCAAGUUGAGUAAGACUCAAAGCCUGAGUACCGAAGUCGAGAUAGCAGAGAUGAGCUGAGUACCUUACGCUUCCGCAGUCGGCUCGAUCAUGUAUGAUAUGACUUGUACUCGCCCUGAUGUGGCCUUCGCUUUAAGCAUGGUCAGCAGAUAUCAAGGGAACCCUAGUAGAGCGCAUUGGACCGCAAUCAAGAAUAUUCUUAAGUACCUUGGAGGACCAAGGAAUGGUUUCUAGUCCUCGGUGGGAGUGAUGACUUAAGGGUGCGAGGGUACAGUGAUGCUAGUUUUCAGACAGACCGAGAUAAUUAUCGAUCUCGGUCAGGUUGGGUAUUUACCCUGAAUGGAGGAGCAGUGACUUGAAAAAGUUCCAAGUAUGAGACCGUAGCUGAUUCAACGUGCGAAUCAAAGUACAUAGCAGCGAGCGAAGCGUCGAAGGAGGAAAUAUGGUUGAAGAACUUCAUCGAAGACCUUGUAGUUUUUCCAUCCAUAAAGGAGCCUAUGGAAAUUCUCUGCGAUAACGAAGGUGCGGUUGUCUUGACCAAGGAACCGAGGGAUCAUGGCAAAUCCAGACAUAUCGACAAAAAAUACCACUUCAUCAGACAUCGGGUAGAAGAGGGACGCCGCGUAUUGAAGAAGGUAUCGUCAGAAGAUAACCUAACAUAUCCCCUCACGAAUGAAUGAGUAGGGUUAAGCACUUGCAGCACACUAGGAGCAUUGGGCUGAAGGACGAUAUUAGUUUAGAUUCGAUAGUUUCGAAACGUGUAACAGAUAAAUUAUAAUGAACAUUUUAAGAUUAAAUAAAGGAGUAUUAUUUAUAAGUAAAAUUAUUGUCUUGUGUUAAUGAUUUACCUAUUGUUUCACUUUGCAUGUUUUGACUUCCUGAAUAAUAAGAUUAUUCGAACAGUCCACAGUCGCUGAUACUUAGGAAGUAGGUAUGAAAGAAAAUUGUCAUGAAUUGGUUUGUAGACUGUCUAAAGUGUAUUAGACAUAACAAAAGUUUGCUGCAACGUUCAUGAGUGCUUAUGAAAUAAUAUUUGCGCAUUGGAUUAAACCCACGCUUGCUGGCAUCACUUCAUGGAAUUUAUCACGAGUGAUCGCAAGACGAUAAUGUCAUAUAGUCUUUAAACCUGGAUAUAUUGUUUAUUGUUUGCAAGUUGGUUGUGCACUGAUAAUGCGUGAAUGCAUUAGUAACUUCAUGUUAUAAAACACAUUGUUGUGCAUUGUGACAUCCCCAAAAUCUCGGCCAGAAAAGACCGAUUUUCAUUUAUGCUUUUAAAAUAAUUUCAGAGUAAAUCCUUUUGAUUUGAAAGAGUUGCGGAAUUUGUUCCCAAAAACAAAACAUGAUAAAACAAUGUUUACCAAAGCAUUUCAUAAAAGAAAUGUAUUUUCAUUAUAUAAUCAAAACUCGGGGUGUCAUGUUCCGAUACAGACCAAUAAGCAUAAACGAUAACAUUACAAGUCAUUCAACAAAUAUAUACAUAUACAGACUUGUAAACAAAACAACUUGAUGGUUCAUCCAUCUUAUGCCCUCGCGCCACUUCCUGUAAUACAAAUAAAACUGAGUGGGUCAGGCUUGGGAGCUUGGUGAGCAUAUAGGGUUUUCAACCCACAAUAAAUAAUUAUAUUUAAUUUCCACCAACCAACAACAACCCAAUUACCCAUUCCCGUUAUUCUCACUUUAUGUCCCUAAGACAACUAACAUAAGGGACCUAGUCUAAGAAUAUUUCAUCGGGGCGACAACACAUGCUUCGGGGGUUCCUCAGCAAUAUAAGUCAAAUAAGGCAACCAUGAGGGGGAUGGAGUACAACGAAUGAACACCCAAGUUCAUUAACACCUACAGGUGGCGAACCUGCUAAUGUUUCCACAAGACUAUCUAGAAAAGUCCGUGGUCGUCAUCUAAACUCCGCUAGAUGACUAAAUCAAACAACAACGAGGCCUCUCAUCUGUUUAUUACACACCAACUAUCUACCCAUGUUCUACCCAACAUAUUAGUAGAUAAAAAUAUACAUUUUUAUACAUAGUUUAAAAACCUGUAUAGCAUGCUUUAAUCAAUACAUAUUCCACAUAACAGAUGAGGCACACACACAUAACACGUAUUUCAUAGAGAAUAAAUCAGAUCUAUGAGAUAGAAGAAAGUGAAUAUACAUUCACACAUAUAACAACAAAAUAUACACAUAACACGUAUUUUAUAUAUAAUACUUCAUAAUUAUGCGUUAGAAGAAAGUAACUACACACUCACUCGAUCAGAAGAUGAUCGGACAGCACUACGACUUGCAGAAGUAGUAAUCCUCAGCAGAUCUGGAAGAUCUUCACAAAAAUCGAACUUCUCGCGGGCAGAGCUUCGGCUCGGGAACCGCACUUCUCGGGAUCUUCGGGAUCUCGGGACUUGCCUCGGGGCUCGAGAAUAAUACCGGGGCUUCGGGGUAUUUCUGGCACGCAAAUCGAUGCAAAACGGGAGAGAGAAGAGAGAAAAUAGCAAAAGAACUCGGCUGCCCUCGCAUCCUAUUUAUAGGAGGCUGGAGCCUCGGAGUACGCGGGGCGUACUGCUCCGAAACGUCAUGGCGUUCGUCAUCCGAAGAACUCGAGUGCGAGGUGCGUCAUGCUUCGCUGUACGCGGGGCGUACUUCGGAUCAGAUCGGUGACUCCUUCGGAUAAUCAUCCGAAUUAAAGAUUAAAUUUAAAUACAAAAUAUUUAAUAAACUUCGGAAAUUCAUAUCUUCUUCAUACGAACUCCGUUUUCGACGUUCUUUAUAUCCACGCGAAGGUGAGACUACGCUCUACAACUUUCGUUUAGACUCCGUCGGCUAAUUUUGACUUUAUUUUUAUUAUUUAUUUUUAAUAGGCCGCGACAGAAAAACUUCGUUAUAAAUUCAUAACUUCUUCGUUUGACGUCCGUUCUCGCCUAACUUUUUAUCGCUUCGAUACCAACAACGAGACCUUCGAUCCUCGUUUAGAUUGCUUCGGCUAAAAACCGCUCGAUCUCAAAUCGAGUAUUUCGGGCUGCAUACCGCUAAGCCGAAACUUCGAUAAAUCAUAACUUCCUCAUACGAAGUCAGAUUUGGGCGUUCUAUAUAUAUUCGGAAACCUCGUUUCAACUACUACAACAUUAUUCAAAGAUAUUAAGUUUAUUUUACACUUAAAUUUUGACGCUUAUUUUUAUUCUUAAUUAAUCAAACCACAUAAUUAAGCAAUUAAGCACAAAACACAUAAUACUCAAAUAAUACAAUCUUAUUAUUUCAAAACGGGUUACAAAGGUUAACCUAGACUAUUACAUUGCUAAAAAUGGCAAGCCCGGAAACACAGGCGUUACAAUUCUCUCCACCUUAGAAUGAUUCCGUCCCCGGAAUCACACAUCAACAAACAAAUGCGGAUAGCGACUCAACAUGUCACUCUCCGUCUCCCAGGUGAGAUUCGGCCCAUUCGUGUGUUUCCAUCGGACAAGCACUAACCCAACCAUUUUGCGUCGCAACUUCUUAGUCUUUCGGUCAACAAUUGCCUCUGGUUCUUCAAUCAACCUUUUGUUCUCAUCAAUUCUCAAUUCAGAAAUUGGAAUUAUAUCGGGAACUUCUCCCGUGAACUUCCUCAAAUAACACACAUGAAAGGUGUUGUGAAUUCCAUUCAGUUCUUCGGGUAAUUCGAGCUUGUAAGCUUGGUUCCCAAUCCUCUGAAGAACUUUAAACGGUCCAAUAAACCUUGGACUCAACUUUCCCCUUUUACCAAAUCUUAUAAGUCCCUUCCACGGCGAGACUUUAAGCAAAACCGAAUCUCCAACCUCAAAAGUCAUCGGUCUUCGCUUCUUGUCAGCAUAGCUCUUUUGACGAUCUUGAGCUGCUAACAUUCUUUCCCUAAUUAUUUUCAACUUUUCAGCAGUUUGAUGAACCAUCUCCGGUCCCAUAAACUGCUUUUCCCCAGCCUCAAGCCAACAAGACGGCGUACGACACUUCUGUCCAUACAAAGCUUGAUAAGGUGCCAUCUUAAUGCUCGAGUGAAAACUAUUAUUAUAGGAAAAUUCUACCAACGGUAAAUGUUCAUCCCAAUUACCUAGGAAUUCCAAGGUACAUGCUCUCAGCAUAUCUUCAAGUGUUUGUAUUGUUCUUUCACUCUGACCAUCAGUCUGCGGAUGGUAAGCUGUGCUUAAACAUAACUUGGUACCCAUUUCCUCUUGUAGACUUUUCCAAAACCUUGAGGUGAAACGGCUAUCACGAUCCGAUACAAUCGUUAACGGAACACCGUGAAGCCUCACAAUUUCCUUCACGUAAGAAUUCGCAAGCUUUUCCAUAGACCAUUUCUCCCUGGCCGCUAUGAAAUGCGCACUCUUAGUGAAUCGAUCAACGACCACCCAAAUCAUGUCGUGACCAUUCUUUGUUCUGGGCAGUUUAGUGACAAAAUCCAUAGCAAUGUCUUCCCACUUACCCAUAGGCACAGGCAAAGGUUCUAAACUCCCGUACGGUUUCUGAUGUUGUGUCUUGACUCUCGCACAAGUCACACACUCGGCCACAUACUUUGCAACAUCAAGCUUCAUCGUCGGCCACCAGUAGUAGGGUUUCAGGUCCCUAUACAUUUUAGUGCUACCCGGAUGAAUCGAGUACAUGGUCUUGUGAGCUUCUUCCAUCAGAAGAUCUCUAAUUCCUCCUGACUUAGGUACCCAAAUACGAUCUUGGAAUACCUUCAGUCCAUGACCGUUAGUACCAAACACCAACGUUUUACCCAAACGUUCCUCCUUUCGGUCAUUUUUCUCAGAAGCUUCCUCUUGAGCUUUCUUUAUACUUUCCACAAUGGUCGAGACAACUUCAAUUCUCAACGCUCUUGGCCUCUUCCUUUCAAGAUUGACCUUCCGACUGAGAGCAUCAGCAACAACAUUAGCUUUACCGGGGUGGUAAAGUAUCUCGCAGUCGUAGUCUUUAAGUAAUUCUAGCCAGCGUCGUUGCCUCAUAUUCAAUUCUUUCUGAUUAAAGAGGUAUUGGAGACUCUUAUGAUCAGUGAAAAGUUUGCACUUCGUGCCAUAGAGGUAAUGCCUCCAUAUUUUCAGAGCGAAAACUACCGCUGCCAACUCCAAAUCAUGAGUCGGGUAAUUCUUUUCAUGCUCUUUCAGCUGUCGAGACGCAUAUGCUAUCACCUUUUCUCUUUGGGUCAAAACACAACCCAAUCCAACACCAGACGCAUCGCUAUAAACAGCGAAGUCUUCAACUCCAUCGGGUAGAGAAAGUAUCGGUGCCUCGCAUAGCUUCUUCUUUAACUUCUCGAAUGCUUCUUUAUGCUUCUCACUCCAAGCAUAAGUAGCUCCUUUGUGGGUCAAAGCUGUUAAUGGAGUAGCAAUCGAAGAAAAGCCUUGGAUAAACCUUCGGUAAUAUCCGGCUAAUCCUAAAAAGCUUCGAAUCUCCGUGGGACUUUUCGGUUGUUCCCACUUCGUCACAGCUUCGAUCUUCGCUGGAUCAACCAUUAUCCCUUCUUGGUUGACCACGUGACCCAAGAAUUGGACUUCACGAAUCCAAAAAUCACAUUUGGAGAACUUCGCAUAAAGCUUCUCCUUCUUCAAAACUUCUAACACUUCUCGCAAGUGUCUGCCAUGCUCCUCCUGGCUUUUCGAGUAGAUCAGAAUGUCGUCUAUGAACACUAUCACGGAUUUAUCAAGGAAAGGAUUACAAACCCUAUUCAUCAAAUCCAUGAACGCUGCUGGAGCAUUGGUUAGUCCAAACGACAUAACCAAGAACUCGUAGUGUCCAUAUCUAGUUCUGAAUGCAGUCUUCUCGAUAUCUUGCUCUCUUACUUUCAGCUGAUGAUAUCCUGACCUAAGAUCGAUCUUCGAGAAAUAGCUCGAACCUUGCAAUUGAUCAAACAGGUCAUCAAUCCUCGGCAACGGAUAUCUAUUCUUUAUUGUUGCCUUGUUCAGCUCUCUGUAAUCGAUGCACAUUCUCAUACUUCCAUCUUUCUUCUUUACAAAUAACACCGGAGCUCCCCAGGGCGAUGAACUAGGUCUAAUGAAACCUUUGUCCAAUAACUCCUGAAGUUGCAUCAUUAGCUCCUUCAUCUCCGUCGGUGCUAAUCGAUAAGGUGCUUUUGCUAUUGGCGUGGUUCCUGGUAACAAGUCUAUUCUGAACUCCACUUGUCUAUCAGGUGGUAAUCCAGGAAGAUCCUCGGGAAAUACUUCCGGAUAAUCACACACCACUGGAAUGCUCUGCAUCACCUUCUUUUCUUUCUUAGCAUCAAUCACGAAUGCUAAAUAUGAUGUACAUCCCUUGGUCAAACACUUUCUGGCUUUCAUUAGAGAAAUGAUUCCAGAAUUCACUCUGCGUUUGUCCCCAUACACCAUAAACGAAUCUUUUCCAGGCGGGUUUACUUUAACUAUCUUCUUCUUGCACAAAAUUUCGGCAUCAUUGGCGCUAAGCCAAUCCAUUCCCAAGACGAUGUCGAAACCAUUUAGUUCGAUAGGCAAUAAUUCCUCGAGAAACUUAUUCCCAUUAAGGUCGAUCAAGACGUUUUUCAUACGAUGGCUAACAGGUACAAACUUGCCACUAGCUACUUCGACUAAUAAAGCAUUAUUUAGUCUAUCAACAGGCAAAGCUAGCUUUCUACCAAACUCAUGCGAAAUAAAGGAGUAGUUGGCUCCAGAAUCAAACAAUAUAUGAGCAGGUAAUUCGUUUACGAGAAAGGUACCUGAAGCGACAUCAGCUUCAUCUUUCGCAGCCUCAAGUGUCAUCUGGAAGGCUCUCGCCUUCGGCUUUGGUGGAAUGUUGGGCCUAGCUGCCUCCUUCUUCUUCGGACAGUCUUUCAAAAUAUGCCCCUCUUCAUUACAACCAAAACACAUCCUUUUGUUGUUCGGACAUUCAUUGGCAAAAUGUCCAACCUUUCCACACUUGUAGCAGGUCACAUCCUCGCUACAUUUCCCAAAGUGCUUUUUCUUACACUUAUCACACCACUUCGCUUCGCCUCCCUUUCCUCCAAACUUUUUCGAAUCAGAUUUUGAAAAUUUGCCCUUCUUACCGGAACCAGAUGUUCCCUCAAACUUUCUCUUCUUACCAACCUCAACUUUGUCGGUGGUUCUCCCCUUAAUCAUGUUUUCAACAGACUUGGCAGCCCAGAUAGCUGCCUCUAGAGUAAGUGCCUGACGUACCGGCACCUCGUACUCCCAUGGAAGUCCCUUCGCAUACCGAUCCACCUUUGUCAGCUCGUCUGGAACGAUACGCAAGGCAAACUCCAUCUUAUCGGUGAAGUUAUUGGUGUAUUCAUCAACUGACAUGCUACCCUUCGUCAAUGUCAAAAACUUGUUCUCCAACUCCAACAGAUUUUGAGCCGAGCAGAACUUGCGCUUGAACUGCACCAAGAACUCUGCCCAUGUCAAUUGCAGUGGCUCAUUAGGGCUUAAAGUCUUCCCUAGAGUGUUCCACCAACGAACGGCUCCACCUCGGAAUUGACACACUGCAUAGAUAGUCUGCAAGUUGUCUCUGCAGCCACAAGUCAUGAAGGCUAACUCUCAUCUGUUUAUUACACACCAACUAUCUACCCAUGUUCUACCCAACAUAUUAGUAGAUAAAAUAUACAUUUUUAUACAUAGUUUAAAAACCUGUAUAGCAUGCUUUAAUCAAUACAUAUUCCACAUAACAGAUGAGGCACACACACACAUAACACGUAUCUCAUAGAGAAUAAAUCAUAUCUAUGAGAUAGAAGAAAGUGAAUACACAUUCACACACAUAACCACAAAAUUAUACACAUAAUACGUAUUCCGUAUAAAAUACUUCAUAAUUAUGCGUUAGAAGAAAGUGACUACACACUCACACAUAUAAACAACAAUAUACUUAAUACACUCAAACCAUACUUGUAUUAUUAUCGUGUUUAUGAAAGGUAGUAUACACUCACUUGAUCAGAAGAUGAUCGGACAGCACUACGACUUGCAGAAGUAGUAAUCCUCAGCAGAUCUGGAAGAUCUUCACAAAAAUCGAACUUCUCGCGGGCAGAGCUUCGGCUCGGGAACCGCACUUCUCGGGAUCUUCGGGAUCUCGGGACUUGCUUCGGGGCUCGAGAAUAAUACCGGGGCUUCGGGGUAUUUCUGGCACGCAAAUCGAUGCAAAACGGGAGAGAGAAGAGAGAAAAGAGCAAAAGAACUCGGCUGCCCUCGCAUCCUAUUUAUAGGAGGCUGGAGCCUCGGAGUACGCGGGGCGUACUGCUCCAAAAUCGUCACUUCUUACGUAUCCGAAGUGCUCGAGUGCGAGUGUCGACAUUCCUCGGUGUACGCGGGGCGUACUUCGGAUGAGUCCGAUGACUCCUCUUCGGAUAAUGCCGGAUUUUCUAAUUAAAUUUAAAUACAAAUUAUUUAAUAAACUUCGGAAAUUCAUAUCUUCUUCAUACGAACUCCGUUUUCGACGUUCUUUAUAUCCACGCGAAGGUGAGACUACGCUCUACAACUUUCGUUUAGACUCCGUCGGCUAAUUUUAACUUUAUUUUUAUUAUUUAUUUUUAAUAGGCCGGGACAGAAAAACUUCGUUAUAAAUUCAUAACUUCUUCGUUUGACGUCCGUUCUCGCCUAACUUUUUAUCGCUUCGAUACCAACAACGAGAUCUUCGAUUCUCGUUUAGAUCGAUUCGACUAAAAACCGCUCGAUCUCAAAUCGAAUAUUUCAGGCUGCAUACCGCUAAGUCGAAACUUCAAUAAAUCAUAACUUCCUCAUACAAAGUCACAUUUGGGCGUUCUUUAUAUAUUCGGAAACCUCGUUUCAACUACUACAACAUUAUCCAAAGAUAUCAAGUUUAUUUUACACUUAAGUUUUGACGCUUAUUUUUAUUCUUGAUUAAUCAAACCACAUAAUUAAGCAAUUAAGCACAAAACACAUAAUAAUCAAAUAAUACAAUCUUAUUAUUUCAAAACGGGUUACAAAGGUUAACCUAGACUAUUACAUUUCUAAAAAUGGCAAACCCGGAAACACAGGCGUUACAUGCAUGAUUUGAUGAGUGAAUAGUAAAUGCAUAUAAGUCGAAGUUUAUCUAUUCCUUUUAUCCUAAGAGGGUAAAAGCGAUAUUUGGGCCCCUCGAUGAUUUGGUUUGAAUUAUGUGUCGGGCCCGAUCAGGACUGAAUUGAUGUGUUCAAUUAAGUUCUAUGUCAUACGAAUCAGAGAUCGAGAAGCGAACUGUUGGAUAAUAAGUAUGACUAUGUUCCAUGUAAUUGUCCACACGAUAUCUUGAACGGAGGACUAUACGAUCCCUUGUCUAAAGGACGAGUCAGAGUUCGACAGCGGCUUUUGAGAGCUAUGAUUGUUAACCGAAUCCUGAAGUUGUACUUGUAUUUAUAGUUAUUAGACUUAUCCAAGUGGGAGACUGUUGGAUUAGUGUCUAAGUCCAUAACUAUAUUUGGUAUGUACUUGACCCGGUUGUAGCGUGGUCCUUUUGGGUUGCCUUUACCAAAGCAACUGGACUGGAUGAUGUAUGGAGAGAGAGGAUAUUAUGGUUUAUUAAUAUAUUAUAAAAAUAGUAUAUUAAAAGAGAAAUCAUAUUGUUUAAUUAAUAUUGGUCAAGAGUUAAUUAAGAAUUAAUUUUGUGGCUAAAGGAUAUUAAUUGAACUAAGGGGACUGGAAUUGCAAUUAUAAGAUAAUUGGAUUUUGGGCCGUGGAUCUCUUGGAUAAUAGGGUGGAAGAUUUUAAGGUGGAAGCCCACUUAAAAAUCGUCCAAGGCCUUGUUCUAGAGGGUUCCAUUAGACUACUUAAGGCCUAAGCUAUCCAAUUAGGGUUUUAACUGAAACCCUAGCAGCACACAUAUGUAAAGAACCCAGGGCUUCAUAUUUCGGCUACCCAAGAAACCCUAGAGUUCUAAGAGCAGAAAUUGUGCCUCCAUUCCCUCUCUUCUAGAUCAUCUUCUUUCCUUGGUGUUUUUAAGCCAUUAGAGGUAUUACAAUUGUGAUACUAAGCUCUUGAAGUUGAAGAUUCUUGCUACUUGUGAAAGGUAAUCAUCUAAACUUGUUUUAGUUGUUAAUUUCAUAUUUUGUAUGCUAGAUCUAGGGUUUUUAAGCUUUGGAUAAAUUUGCAUGUACAAUAGAGAAACCUAGAUCCAAAGCUUUAGAGUUUUACAUGUGCACCAUUGGAUUGUUGUUUUGCUCAAAACCUAUUAGGAGGCCCCAUCUCAUCGAGUAGAGGCGAAUCUUGGAUGCGGGUGGAAGAGUCUACUCGCCGAGUUGGAAGCCCCGACUCAACGAGUAGAUCUGUAUAGAUGAAACCCUAAAUUUUAGGGUUUGCACCCUAUUUAAACACAUUAACAAGCCUCCCAUGCAGCCCCCAUCAUCUCCCUUAGUCCAGGAACCCCUAACUCGUGACCCUUGAGCUUUGAGAAGUGUGUGGGUCAUUUUUUACAGUGUUUGUGUGAUCUUGAAGCUAUAGGAAGAAGAAGAAGGAGCUAGAAGGUUCAACGAAGCAGUAGAUCCUGGGUUCAAGCUCCAUUUCCAAUCCCAUUGAGGUAUAAAGUUGCUUCCUUGACUUCCUUAUUGCUAGAUCUCUCCAUGUUUGAGUUUAGGGCCAUCUUUUAGCAAUUUGUAAACCUUUUUGGAGUAUGGAGUGUGAUCUAAAGUUGUAACUUCAGAUCCAGAUCCCUUUCACCCCUAUAGCCAUAAAGUUUACGAAUUUAUCAUGCUUUAGCCCUUCCCUUUGGCCUAGACUUCAUUUUAAACUUGGAAAUGGUGUUUUUGGCUCAUAACACCUUGCAUGCACUUAAAGUUUGUAAUUUUACGUGUAAUAUUGACUCUAGGAGGUCAGAUCUACGUUUAGGAUGUGUUAAUCCCGACUGAAAUAAUUGUAUAGACUUGGACUUUAGGGGAAUUGAUGAGUCGUUCGUAGGACUCGACGAGUCAGGUCAUGGUUCCCCAAACUUUUCUGUUUCUGAGCAAUCUGGUUGAGUCUAGAAGAGGACUCAACAAGUUGGACGUGAAUAUGGACUUGAAGAUCAAACAACUCGACGAGUUCAAGGAUGAACUCAGUGAGUUCAAGGCAAUUUCAUAACUUAUAUGAAGAAGAACUCGACGAGUUCAAGGAAGAACUCGGCGAGUCAAGGACUAAACAUUUCAACUUGUACGAAGCAGUACUCGACGAGUUCAAGGAUGAACUCGGCAAGUCAUGAGCAAAAGGGUCCCCGAUUAUGUAUGAAGGAGAACUCGACGAGUUCCUCAAAGACUCGACGAGUAGGAUCGAAGAUCCAGUGUUUUGUGGAAUAAGGAACUCGACGAGUUGAGUAAACCAGAAGUUGACUCUGACAAGGGUGUUGACCAUGACUUUGAUCUCCACCUGAUUUGACUCCCGAAAGGGUUAUGAGUAUGAAAUGGUAAUUAAGGAAGGUUGUUAUGUGUAGGAGUUUGAAGAAUUUGAGAGGAGUUGAUCCCAACACCGAGGACAGUUCAGAUACUACAUGACAUUGAGGUGAGUUAACUUCCAGUAGAAGUGACUCUAACGCACAAAUGCCGACCCACUAGUAGGUGAUUAUAGAUGAGAUUAUUGUCUUUGUGAUAAUUGUCUAGUAUGCCACUAUCUGAUAUAUUUUAUGUGGCGGUAUGCUAUAUUAUUAUGUGGUAGUGGUAGGGGUGAAAUAGUCCCCGGUUACCGGUUGAAAGAGACUGAAGGGGAGGCCAGCACCCAGAUAUGCUAGACAGUAUAUGAUAGUGAUGUUAUGCUAGAUUAUUAUGUGGUAGUGGUAGGGGUAGGGGUGAAAUAGUCCCCGGUUACCGGUUGAAAGAGACUAAAGGGGUGGCCGGCACCUAGAUAUGCUAGGCAGGUUACCAGUUGAAAGAGAUCGAAGGGGAGGCCAGCACGCAGAUAUGCUAGGCAUUAUGUGAUUAUAUGGUAUGUGGUAUGAUGGGGGAACUCACUAAGCUUCAUUCUUACAUUUUUCAGUUUUGUUUUCAGGUAACUCUUCAUCGAAGGGGAAGGAGUCGGCACGAUAGCAGCGCAUCACACACACAAGAUUUCCGCAUUAUGAGAUUCAUGGCAUUGUAUUAUAACAUUAUUACUAUUUGUAUGAUACGGUUUUGAGACAUGUGAUUAUGGUUUUAUGAAAUGAUGUGACUCAAUGAUGUUUUCUUAUAAAUGUUUUUCUAAAUCGUUAUAUCAAACAUGAAAUUUUUGGUCUUGAAAAUUAGGAUGUUACAACAAUGAGGGAUGGUUCUAGAUCUACAAACUUGCAAGCAACAACUCCUUCUUCUCUACCCUCCUUCUUAAACAAUAUGCACCAAAAUCACUUAAUAAGCUCCCAAACUCAUAGAAACAACUUAGACCCGGGGAUUAGGGUUUGAGGAGAGAAUGGUGGCUGAUAAGGAUAGUCCAAGGGAGGUAUAAGGUAAUUUAAAAAGAGAGUAACCCUUAAAAUUAGGGUUUAAUGACGGGGCUAGUACGCCCGACGUACCACACCUACGCCUAGCGUACUAGCAAGACACCUGCGAUCCCACAUCACACGAGUAUGUUGCGCGUACCCUCAAGUACGCCCAACGUACGAAUAAAAUAGUGAAGCCUUUACCACAAGGGAUCAAUUGUGCAACUUUGAUAAAGUUAAGCACUAAAAAAAUAAUACAUGAUAUUCAGAUGUUUGCAAAUCAUUCCUUUAGUUCCUAAAAGUAAAGUAUAUAAUAACAAUAUNNNNNNNNNNNNNNNNNNNNNNNNNNNNNNNNNNNNNNNNNNNNNNNNNNNNNNNNNNNNNNNNNNNNNNNNNNNNNNNNNNNNNNNNNNNNNNNNNNNNNNNNNNNNNNNNNNNNNNNNNNNNNNNNNNNNNNNNNNNNNNNNNNNNNNNNNNNNNNNNNNNNNNNNNNNNNNNNNNNNNNNNNNNNNNNNNNNNNNNNNNNNNNNNNNNNNNNNNNNNNNNNNNNNNNNNNNNNNNNNNNNNNNNNNNNNNNNNNNNNNNNNNNNNNNNNNNNNNNNNNNNNNNNNNNNNNNNNNNNNNNNNNNNNNNNNNNNNNNNNNNNNNNNNNNNNNNNNNNNNNNNNNNNNNNNNNNNNNNNNNNNNNNNNNNNNNNNNNNNNNNNNNNNNNNNNNNNNNNNNNNNNNNNNNNNNNNNNNNNNNNNNNNNNNNNNNNNNNNNNNNNNNNNNNNNNNNNNNNNAAGAUGUGUGUGUGUGUGUGUAUAUAUAUAUAUAUAUAUAUAUAUAUAUAUAUAUAUAGGGUUGAGAUCGGUUGACAACUCAUAGUUUUUCGAGAACUCGAGAACUAAAAGUGGAGCGUUGGAUUAAAAGUAAUUCAUUAAGGACAUGAUCAUCAUCUUACCAAUCUCAUUUAAUGUUUAAUUUUUUUUGUUAUUUAAUAUAUUAAUAUAAAUGUCCAAAAAUUUACAUCAUAAAUCAAAUUUUCAAUUUCUUUUAAAUAUAGUUUUUUUUUUGUUUUUUUUUAAUGCAGAUUUUGUAAUUUUUUAUAGAAAACAUGAAUUUUGAAAAAAAAAAUUGAAAAAAAUAUAUUUUUUAAAAAACUGCAAUUUUUAAAAGAAAACUACAUGUUUUUCUUUCAAAAAAAACUACAAUUUUUCUAAUGAAAACUGAAUUUUUUUCAAAAAAAAUUGCAGUUUUUUUAAAGAAAGUUAAAUUUUUUUUCAAAAAAAAAUUGCAUUUAAAAAAUAGACCAAACCAAAAUACCUUGAUUAUAGCCAUAUAUGACUUCUUGUUUGGUCCUUUAGUAUAAGGAACUAACAACAUAAGAUCCUUCUCCACAUCCACAAAGAUAGAUGAUACUUACAUGAAUAAUUUAUUCAUGGUGCACAGAUUUAACAUCAAAAAUAUCUAUAAAAUUACUAUCUGACAGAAUUAUUGAACAUAUAAAUAGAUUAUAAUGUGUAGAUAUCAAAUGAAUCUAGCAAAGACUCACUAAAGCAAAUCAAAAUCCUAGAAAUCCUGCUUCAUAAACUCGAAGAAAGAGGUUAUUAAAAACAACACUUAGGUUGAAUGAUCUGGAUCAAUAAAAUGUAUUUCGGGGACAAAGUUUUCUAACAUUGGAACCUUGCCAUGUCUGCAGAUAGUGGACUGUAAUGCUUUGCCUACUAUUAUUCUAAUGUUGCAAUACACUAUGAAGCAGUUAGUUCUAGUUUUUAAAUUCACUUUUUUUUUUCUUUUCAGCUCAUAAGAUUGCGUGUAUCUAGGAAUGAUUUCUGAAUGGUACAUCUUAGGUUGGUGUGAUUGGGAAUCUUGUCCUUUCAUCCCCCAACAUUACGAAGGAAGUUCUUCUUGCUGGAGCAUUACAACUUGUAAUUGAAUUACUCAAGUAAUGUGUGAUACCUACCUUUAAAGGGUUGCAUUCAAAAACUGCAACUUCCUUCCGUCUAUGCCUAAAACUAUGCUUUUGGAACUCUACAUAAGAUCAGCCUUGAACUAUCAAACAAAAUUGGCUUAUUUUGAUAGCAAAGUUAAAAGACAGAACACAUGAGGCUCAUUAAAUGUCACCCAAUAGUCAACAUGUUCAAACACACAAUCAACAACCACUCUGCAACAUAUUUAAAACCUACCAUCUUAUUGUUACCUAAUAAUAACAAACAAAUAUGUUGUAAAUCAACACAAGAACAGAUAAGGGCUCUCGAUUGGAAGAGAUUCAAAUUCCAAAGAACAUACACAAACAAAUAUAUCAAAACGAAGAAGUAAGAACCAAUUGAACCAGAAAGAAAAUAUACGAAAAUUAGGAUUCUGAGUGAAUCACAGCAAUAGAAAACAGAUGAGCGUAGAGAGACUAAGCAACAAAUACUUAAAUUUAAUCAACAAAUCAACUAUGAACAAAUCAUACCAUUUAUAUAUUGUUGCUACAUAAUUUGGCCACCAAAUUAACUAAUCAAAAUUAACACACAAAAAUAACAAAGGUGCAUCGUAACAUUGAUGAAUUAAAACAACAAAAAUCACCUGAAAACGUUUCUCGUUUAUAAAAGAUGCACCAUCAUUAUGUAGAAGAAGAGGAAACGACGAUUAAGAUAUCGUCGCUUUUAGAUAAACGGAAAACCUGAUGUCUUCACUCCCCGACCUUUCCAAUUAAGAAGAAGAAGACCUGAUUGUUUGAAGUUAUUACAUCACCGUGGCCUUAACUGGGAUAAUCGCAAUCCAACUGAUGGAGUAGGAAAAUUCGAUCUGAUUAAUGAAUGAUGAUGAAUCUGGUGAUUUAGGGCUUCGACUAUCACAAUCGAAGAUGAACACAAAUGGUGUCGAUCUGUUAGUUCGUAAAUUCGGCGUCGAUGAUCUAGAUAUUAAGGAAUGUUGAUUGGUAGUAGAUGUUGAUCGUCGCUGGAGGUAGAAGACGUUGAUUGAGGGACGAGGGAGAAGAUCGCUAGAAGAGAAGAGAUAUGGUGGAGAGAGAGAGAGAGAGAGAAUUUUUAUAACCCUAAAAUGCCCCUAAUGCCAUUUAGUUUUGAUGCCCCGUCCUUUAUUUUUCCACUUAUUUACAAAAAUACCACAAUACAUCUUGGUCAUCCUUUUUUUUUAUCCGACGCUCCAUUUUUGGUUCUCAUGUUCUUAGGAAAUCGUGAGUUCUCAUNNNNNNNNNNNNNNNNNNNNNNNNNNNNNNNNNNNNNNNUAUAUAUAUAUAUAGAGAGAGAGAGAGAGAGAGAGAGAGAAAUUUCGAUAGAUAACCAAAAAGGAUGGGGUUUUUUAAGAAAAUGACCAUGUAAAUGAGGAUUUUGGAAAAUGACCACAGGUUCCACAGAGGGGGUUCUGCGGAACCAUAAACACCUCUGUGGAACCAUGAACACCUCUGCAGAUCUUGGUUUUUUUAUUUUUUAUUUUUUUCGUUUUUUUUUAUUUUUGUUUUCGUUUAUUAAUUAUAUUAUUUUUUUAAUCGCAUACGGUAUUAUGUGAUUAUUAUGUAAGAGAAAUUUGUUUUCAUUUUUCGUUUUCUUAUUUAAUUACCUGUUUGUUUAAUAAAAAUUAUACAAAUAUUUCAUGUUUUAUAUAAAAUCACACACACCGGUAUUCUGAAUAAUAAACAUACUUUAAUAAACAUACACAUACAACCUUCAUAAUAAACAUACUUUGAAAUAAAAUUCAUUCAUUCAAAUCGAACCAUGGAAACUUUGAUCUGUUUUCGUAUUCCAUCCAUGAGUUUUCUGAUAUUUGUGUCCCUAGGUUUACUGUCGCUUACGUCCAUUGCUUAUCUGGCUCUUGCAGUCAUUGGUACUCGGUGCAACCCUACCAUUGGUUUUGUGGCUCUUCAUGCGAUUGGUAUUCGGUCCCUUGUGUCCAUUGGUUAUGUGGCUCCUGCUGCCAUUGAUGUUCGAUAUGUUGUGUCCAUUGGUUGUCUGGCUGUUGUUACCAUUGAUGUUAGGUCUGUUGUGUCCAUUGGUUGUCUGGCUUUUGUUGCCAUUGUUGUUCGGUAUGUUGUGUCACAUUAGCUUUCUCUACGACCCUUGAACGGUGUCCAUCACAUUGGCUUUCUCUACGACCUCUAUUAGUUUUUGUUGGAUUAAACUGGUUGUUAACCACUGCUUGUUCUUCAGCUUCUUCACCUACCACCGUUAAAUACAAAUGCACCGUCUUCUUUUAUUCAGACAUUACAUGUCUCAGUUGAAAUACAUCAGUUUCAUCUCCAAGCUCCAUGACAUACCCUAACUUUGGGUGUUUAAAAGACAAACAUAUAUGACUAUUUAACACACAUGCCUUACUUCUAACCGUUUGUAAUAACAUUUCAUGGUCAAUGUUAAGAGGAAGAUUUAAACCAUAGUUUUUCACAUUAUUUCUAACGUAAACCUCAUCUUCAUUAACUAACUGCCACGACCCUCCCGUACACAAAAUAAUAAAACUCAUUUUACAAAUCACUCUCCACAAACACAAUAAAAAACAACUUCUACUGGUAAUUGAAACUCACAAACUCAUAAAAAAACCACUUAAAUACUUCUAUAACUGAUCCACAGAGGUGUAUACUGGUCCGCAUAGGUGUACACGGAUCCACAGAUGUGUACAUUGAUUUGCAGAAAACAGUUCUGCGUAUUUCCUAACAGUUAUGCAGAGGUGUACACUGAUCCGCAGAAAACAUUUCUGCGUAUUCCCUAACAGUUAUGCAGAAGUGUACACUGAUCCACUGAAAACAGUUCUAUAACUGAUCUGCAGAGGUGUACAUUGAUCUGCAGAGGUGUACACUGAUCCGCAGAAAACAGUUCUUACAUGGCUAAGUGAUGUGUCAAAAACUCCUUACCUGGACUUCUGCAUAUCAAAGUUUUCGUGGUUCGAUUUGAAUGAAUGAAGUUUAAGUCUAAGUAUGUUUAUUAUGAAGGUUGUAACAGAUCAAAGUUUUUGUGGUUCGAUUUGAAUGAAUGGAGUUUAAGUCUAAGUAUGUUUAUUAUGAAGGUUGUAACAGAUCAAAGUUUUCGUGGUUCGAUUUGAAUAAAUGAAGUUUAUUUCAAAGUAUGUUUAUUAUGAAGAUUGUAUGUUUAUGUUUUCUAAAGUAUGUUUUGUAACCUACUUAAAGUAUGUUUAUUAUUCAGAAUACCAUUGUGUGUAAUUUUAUUUAAAACAUGGAAUAUUUGUAUAAUUUUUAUUAAACACACAACUUUUUUAAAGAAAUAAUUAAAUAAGAAAAUGAAAAAACGAAAUCAAAUUUUUUUUACAUAAUAAUCACAUAAUACCUUAUGUGAUUAAAAAAAUACUAAUAUUAAACAAAAAUAAAAAAACGAAAAAAAAAAAACCAAGAUCUGCAGAGGUGUUCAUGGUUCCGCAGAACCCCUCUGCGGAACCUGUGGUCAUUUUGCAAAAUCCUCAUUUACAUGGGUUUUUUUUCAAAAUCCCANNNNNNNNNNNNNNNNNNNNNNNNNNNNNNNNNNNNNNNNNNNNNNNNNNNNNNNNNNNNNNNNNNNNNNNNNNNNNNNNNNNNNNNNNNNNNNNNNNNNNNNNNNNNNNNNNNNNNNNNNNNNNNNNNNNNNNNNNNNNNNNNNNNNNNNNNNNNNNNNNNNNNNNNNNNNNNNNNNNNNNNNNNNNNNNNNNNNNNNNNNNNNNNNNNNNNNNNNNNNNNNNNNNNNNNNNNNNNNNNNNAUAUAUAAUAGCCAAUCAAAACCUGCCAAAUGUUUACGUCAUGGUUGUGAAAAAUGGGUUUGCGUUCUAACGUUUUCUUCAAUUGGUUGUCUAUCUGUACACAUUUUUUUGUUUUUUUGGCAUUUUGUCCUUCCAUAUACCGUAUACCACCAAUAAACAUGGUCUCAGAAAUUCAACAUAACAGUAAAUUAUAAUUUCCAUUAGUUUGUAAUAUCUAUUUCUAAGAUAUGGUCUAAAGAAUCUCUAUGUCUUUUUUCCCCCAAUUUACUAAAUAGCAUCUUUUACCAAUUAUCCAAAGUUUCACAAAAUAUUAUUAGAUUUAUAAAAAUAAGAGUAAAUGACAAAUUUCAUUGUUGUUUAUUCAAAAUCAUAAGUUUAAUUAAUUUGUUAUAUCUAUUUCUAAGAUAUGUUCUAAAGAAUCUACGUAUCCUCUUUUUUCAAUUCACUACAUAGCAUCUUUUAAACAGUUAUCUAAAUUUUCACAAACUAUUAUUAGAUUUAUAAAAAAUAAGAGUAAACGACAAAAAUUCUUUGUUGGUUUUUCAAAAUCAUAAGUUUAGUCAAAAAAUUGAAUGUCUCGUUGUCGUCCUUAAAUUUUCAUUUUGACAUUGUGUUAACUGUUAAGUGUUAUGGACAGAAAAGUGAUUCGUACACAACAAUUUUUUGCCAUACACAACAAUUCAUGUAUUAUAUAGUUGUACAAUACAACAUUUUAAAGCACCAAUUGUUGUGUAUGUGUAUGGAGAAAAUUGUUAAUAUUGAAUUUAUUAUUUUAACUAAACCAUAAGAAGUUACGAACAAUCGUCCGCAACGAAAAUUUAAACUUAAGAUUAGACUAAAUGCAAAAUUUUAAAUAGAACAUAAAAGACUAAAUCUAUAAUUACUCUAAAAAUAAUUAAUCUGUAAUUACUCUAAAAAUUUUGAACAUCGAACUUUCGAAUAUUAGCAUGUUUGUAGGUUUUGUCGUUACCCUUUUAUAUGCCAACAAGUUUAAUGAACAAUAUUCUUUUGGAGUUUUGGACUUUUGCCACUUAUCUUUUUAGAUUUGAUGUUUUGCCGAAAGUUUUUGGAUAUUGGCGUAUUUAUUCCUUGUAAUUAUAUAAUUUAUAGAAAAAGUCCUUAAGCGUUUUUUUUUUCUUUUUUUUUUCUUACAAAAACAAUCCNAUAAUCCAUGUCUAACAGAAAAUUUGCAGAUUACGCCUCCACCGAACGUCUCCACAAUAUGUUGUCAUGUUUUGUCCCUACACUUUUUUGUUUUCACGCUUUGGCCACAUGAGUUUUGUAUAUUUGCAUGUUUGCUCCCUACACUUUCGUAGUUACACAAUUUGUGCCCCUUCCCCUGCGAAACUUCUCUUGCGUUCCUCGCAAAGUGUGAAUGAAGCGAUUUCUAGUUAAGAUAAAAUGCCUAAUUUAUAACAGAUCUAAGAUGAAGAAGGAAAUGCAUUUUAUAUGAGUCUUCUAGUUUUGAUUCUAGAAAUAGGUUUUAUAGAUUGGAAAAAGAUACAUGAUUUGGUACCAAUAUAAAAGAUUAAUUCUUCAAAUGAGUUUUACUGGUUGAUGACGAUGAAGAAACUUUUUUUUUCAAAUCAAACCCAGUAACCCACCCUCCCCUCCCUCGACCAUCUGUUCUAAAAACCACCAUAGCAAUUUUUGCAACCCACCGAACACCUCCACUGUAACAUCCUAAAUUUAAGACUGGAUUAUUAAAUUAAUUAAGCAAAUAAAUGAAAGAUGAUUUAUUUAAAUAAAUCAUUAUGGGUUAAUCAUACCAUUAAUUUAUAUGCAGUUUAGAAAGUUAGAAGAGGAAAUAAUAACAUUUUUAAAGGUUAAAGGGCCAAAGGUGUCAAGUUGGCAAAGUGAGUUGAACAAAGUGUUGACUCAAUUAAUGAGAUGGACUAUAAAAGUUAUAUAAUGGAUGGAGAAGGAAUUUAUCAUAACUUAAGUUAAAAUAAAAAAAAAUAUUAAAUUUUGGUGGGUUUUGGCUAGCACGAGUAUUCUUGAGGGACCAAAUAUGAAAAAUAAAGGAAAUAAGAUGCAAGCCUUCUUUAUUCCCUCUUCCAAAUCAUGUUUUGCAUCCUAAUGGCUUUAUAAAUGGUGAUUUUCAUCUUCUCUCCACCUAGGGCAUGAUUCAAGUGGAGAAUUAAACAAUCAAGCAAAGAAGAGAAGGAAUUAAGGCUUACAAGGUAAACAUCUUUUCCCUAUUUAGCCUAGAAAUCGAGUUAGUGAAGUGGGUAAAACCCCAAUGUUGAAAUUGAUGAGAUUCAAUGAUUAGGGUUUUGGUUUCUAACAUCCCUUGAGUAGUUUUGAUGAUCCCAAUCUCAAUAUAAUCAUCCCAUUGAUGAAUUUGAUGAUUUAGGUGAAAACCUUUAUGAAUCCUAGAAACCUAAUGUAACACUCCAAAUCAGGUAAACCAUUUUAACCUGUUUAAAUAAUUCAGUUGGCAAAAAUGGUCCCUUUUAGUAUGUUGGGCAUACUUAAGGGUAUGCUUAGCGUACCAUGGAGGAAGGAUCACGGAGGAGUUUCGCAUAAGCGGGGCGUACAUAUAGGUACGCGGGGCAUACGCGACAGAGGACCAAACCCUAAUUUUCGGACUUAAGACCUAUAUAAGCAUCCUUAUCUCAUUUGAGCCUCACCCUAACUAGCCUCCUUCACCCUCAAACGUCCCUGAAAACCCUAAAAUCAUUAGAGUAUGUGCUCUUGAGCUUGUGAGGGUUUAAACACCAUUCUUUUGGUGUGUUAGUUACAAGGAAGAGGAGGAAACAAUCUUGAACGAAGAAGUGUUUAUGGAUCUUACAUUUUGAGCAGCCUAGGAAGCUUAAGGAGGAAAAAAACUUUCACCUUGGUCAUCAUUUUCAUUUCUAGAGAUAGGGUUUUCUCUUGAGUCCUUUUUUGUGUUCUUGGACCACAUCUUGAGAGUUUGAGCAACUCCAUAACUUAGGGAGGAUCGAUAUGAGGUCCUUUGGUCCAUUCUUAGCAUAAAAAAGGAAUCUUGAUGCGUGUUUUGACCUUAUGCAUGAAUUAAGACUCUUGGAAAGGUCUUAAUGGGUUGUUGGGAGCAUAUGGAACAUGCAAAGGCAUAAAUUUGCCAACUUUAUGCCUUAGGACAUCUUAAUGAACUCAGAUCUACAGAUUGGACGUUGGAACAUCAAGUAAUAAGCACUUAAUGGAAAAAGGUGCUUAAUCUGUUUGUACGUUGGGCGUAGUAUAGUGUACGCAGCGCGUACAACUCAUGGACUGAGUACGCUAAGCGUACAGGAGUGGUACUUGGAUUUGUUUUGGGCUUGAAAGCUCUUUGGGCCUUAAUCAGUCAUUGGGCGUGGCCAUGUUUUGAGUUAGUGGGCCAAUUUAUCUGUUUUGGGCCAUGAUUGCUAUGGUUGGGCUUUAUUGGGCCAUGCGGCCCAUUAAUGAUUUUUGGACAUGAACUUUGGGCCCAUUAGCAAUGGGAAACUUUUGGGCCAUUAUGGUAGGACUUGGGGCUUGGGUUCUUUAAUUGGAUUAUACUCAACCCUAACCUUGGGUUAAUGGUAUUAUUGUUCAGCAUGGGUGGUUACGGACUAUUAGGAGAGAAACUUUCAAAUUCAACAAAUAGAGGUAAGUCUCCCCACCAUACUAAUGGGUCGAAGGCACCAAGUCCGACCCAUUUAGUUUGUGGUAUGAUGAUAUAUGGUUCAUUAGAAUGGCCUUGACUGCUCUAGAGUGCCAGCCUGGCCCGGCGCACUCCUACCUGCCCUGCCUGGCGUUCCCUUGCCAACCCUGUAUGGCGCUCCCUUUCCAUCGAUGAUGGGGACUCUCUUGUUGGCCCGACCCAUCGCUCCCUUGCCUAGAGCCCCCUUGCCGCCUUUCCUGGUGUACGCCCGUCAGCCUUUCCUGGGGCGCGUCCGCCAGCCCUACUCGGCGCCUCCGGGCGUCCUUGCCCAUCUCUUUGCUAGUUGGGCCUAAAUUGGGCUAGCCCAAUGCCUGACCUAAUUCCACUUAACCUAAUUGUCCACUACAAAUAAAAUAGUGCCUCCUCCACAGCGAAGGACACUUCCCCAAAUGGCUCAGCCGCCACUAGACCUCUCCCCAUGGCUCAGCCACCAUACUAUACACCGGCCGGGUGACUCAGCCGCUACCCACCGCCGCCGUCAGCCACCAUACACCGCCACCAACACCAGGAUGGUUCUCUCUAGCUAAGGAGGACCAUCUCAGAUCUACAAGCUGAUCUAACUUGAUCGUCGAAGUACGCUCCCAGGGCACAAUCCCUGGGAGGGCUCUAAUGACCUUGCCUGUUGUGACCUCACAAAUCUGUCUUCGGCGUAGAAGCUCUCCCUCACAGCAGGUGGUCGGAGCCGAAUUCGCAUCAUUUGGCGCCAUCCCGGACUCGAACGAACAACCAUCAUCUUGUUCUUGUGUAGAUCUGCUUAUAUCUGUUGUUCCAGCUCAGGUUUUCCUCAGAUCUGUUCAUUUCUAGCACUAUUUGGUUCAGAUCCAUUUGGCUUUUGCCAAAAUGUGCGCAGACGAUUUGGUUCUUGACAAGAUCUUUUCAGAUCUGUUUAACCAUCAUUUGGAUCUUAAGAUCUAUUUUUGUUCUCAAGUUCAGAUCUAUAGAUUUGUUUACGUCUUAAAGCUCAGAUCUCAGGAUCUUUUGAUUUUUUAACCCAUCUAAACAUUUAUGAAGCUUGCAAAUACAUUUUAGAUCUAUCAACGUUUUUAGCUCAGAUCUCCAGAUCUGUACGUUUUUGUUCACAUAAUCAUCUCUCAAGUUUAAAAACACCAACUCAGACCCGUUUUAUUUAUAUUUUCAGGGAGAAAAGAGGUUCAUAGGAGCUUUUCUCCAUAUUUGUCAAUAUUUUGGUGCUUUAUCUAAGCAACUUGAGAGUUGAAGAACUUUUUGAUAAAUAUUUACUUUAUUUUCAGUUAAUGUUAUAAAGAAAUCACCUCCAGUUUAUGAUUUUCUUUGCAAGACUUCUUUGAAGUUGUCUAUUUGGUGUUUUCUUCAAAAACUUAUAAAAGGAAAACAAAUAUUUUUUCUAGAUAUGUUUCUUGCUCAUAUCUUCAUAUCUUGUAGAGCAAGCUAAAAAGAAAAGGAAGUUUUAUGAAUAACACUCCACAUCAGAUCCGUUUUUAUCUAUGAUAUGGAGUUUUUUCAGCAAAUUUAGAAGAAACGAAAUUUUUUUAGUUUUACCCCAUCUUUUGUUCAUAUAUUAUCAGAAAACCCUUCUUUAGCUAUGCAUUUUUUGUAACAACUAUUUGUACACACAGCUGCGUGGCUUGUACAUUAUACAAAACCUUCAAAAAAAUAAAGAACAAGUUUUCAUGGGUUUUUACACCACCUUCAGAUCACACAUUUUCAGAAAAUUCUUUACUUAUGAUUGUUUAGAAGUUUGGAGAAAGAAAUAUGUUUCUAUUAAUUCUUACCAUUUUUGGUGAUAGUUCAUCACCAGAAAAUUGUUUUUAGAUGAGACCUUGUAUGUACAACUCAUUUUCUUGAAACAUUUGUUUGUAAAUAUUGUUAUGUUUCUUAUACAUUUCAAAAAAAACCCACAAAGUGUCAUAAACCUGUUGAUAUUUAUCCCAUUUUACCAAAAACAACUAGUUUAUCGUUACCCACUUAUAGUUCACUGUUCAAAAAAAAAAAAAAUCGUGUGUGCUUUUAUUGCAAGUAGGGCUGUUCACUAUUUGGAUAAAACCAAAUUGUGCAAUUGGACAAUUUGGAUCGGACAAUUUGGUUCGGAUAUUCGGAUUUUUAGAUUCAUUUUCAGCAAAACCGAAUUAUUAAUUUGGAUUUCGGAUUGAUUUUGGUUUAUAAACUAAGGACUGAAUAGUCCAAAAAAACCGAAUAUCAACUUAUUAUCUAUUUUUCAUAUAUAUCUUUAACUAUUUAUAAAUUAUUAUUUUUAGUUAUUAGAAACUUUUAACGAAUAUAAUACUUUAAAAUUACUUCUUAUCAAAAUGUUUUUGUCAAUGAAAUAUUAACUAUAAUAUAUAUUCUUAGUUUUUGUUCAUAAAUUAUAAUUUAUGAUAAAAAGUAGUUUCUUUAUAGAUUUUGCUAAUAUUCAGGUUAUAUAUUUUUCAACAUGCCUUGCCUCUUGAAAACCGAAUUGUAAAAACCGAUCAAACCGAAUUGUAAUUUGGUUGGAUCGGAUCGGAUUUAAAUUUAGUUUGGACUAUUCAGAUCAAUGUUUUGAAAACCGAAAUCUGUUCGGAUUCACUUGAUUGGAUCAGAUCAAACCGAUCCAUCCAAACGAACAUCCCUAAUUGCAAGAUACAUUUCAUUACCUUUUAUCACACUCAAAUACACAUUACCAUAUCACUUUCACAUUUACAGCACAAGAGAUAGUAAAAAAACAAAGGAAAUGUCAUAAAGCAAAAAAAAGGGGGGGGGGGGGGGAACAGGUCAGCACCACUAUCUGUAUACUGUCAUAAAGCAACAUCCAUGCAUUUUGAAAGACUCUAGAUGGCAGAAAAGACAAAAAGAAACCGGACCCUAGUGGGUCGCCUUCCUCCUCUCAUAGACAUUAGGCCCGUCAUCUCCAGCAUAGCCUCUUGCGCAUCACUAGUAGACAAAAUACCAUCGGCAUAUCGCUUCCGUUUUCUAGAACCACCGCCAGUGAGACCAAAAUAGUAGCUUCGAUGCCAACAACCCCUGCCACCAGUCAAUCCCAACUAGACAACCCAGCAAGCCACCAACGUUCCCUAAUACCCGGAACCCAAGAACAAUCGAUCGCCAACCUCCUAUGUUCGAGUAAUCGUCGUUUGUCGGAGCUGCAGGCCACCGAUCGUUUCUUGUUGUUUCUUCACCACAGAUUACCCCCUAACGACUCAUAAACCACCAGAAAUGGUAGCCAAAGGCUCGCCAUCGUCACCACCUACAACUGCUGCCAGUCGAAGCUACAUACCCCAGUCUCCGGUUACUAUACAAUCACUACAGUGAAAUCCGAACCACCGGUUGACAACUGUUGUUCUCUACUCUGUCGGAGCAGCACUCCCCUACCUUCGAAGAUAGAUCAUACACCAAUCAUCGUCGGUCUCGUCGGAUCGCCUACAGCCAACGGGUAUCUUCAAGAUCCAGAGUCGCGGGUCACAAAUGACAUCACCGUGUCGAUUUCCGACCCCGUGUUUCUCAAUCCCCUACCGGGAACCGCAUCUAGCACAUUGUCGGCCCAACCACCAUGUUCUCCGACAGCCGCCUCCGAAGACUGGAUCUAAAACAACACCACCCAUCGGCAAUAGCCAUCGUUGGUCAAUGAUAACACCACCCGAUUACCUUAAAGCAACAACCUAACAAUCCAACAUUGUCUAUAGAGGUUGACCUAUUUCAUAGGUGGUGAAUCCCGACAAGUGAGCUGACUUACAGCUCCCGGUGUGUUUUCCCCUUAUGGCACCUCUCCUGACGGAUCGAGAAAAGGGGGGUUGUCGGCUAUGGUUGGCUGCCUUACCCUAAUACACUAAAAAAUGGGCUUUUCCUGGGAAAUGGGUUGUAAUGUUAUAUUCGGGCUUCAAUAUUGACUUACUUUGGGCUCCUUUAUAUCGAGAAUGGGCUACAACAACUUUAGGUUUUUCCUUUAGACUUGAACAUCUUAUCGGGUUAUCUUAAUAAGCAAUCUAUGGCGCAACUCAGCCGGUUAAAGCUCGCGUGUUAUGUUUCUGCCCAACAAAAUACAUUUUCAGAAUAUGUAUGGUGGUCUGGACCACCCAACAUUUUCAAAUAUUAAUAAUAAUAAUAAAAUGAUAAAAUAAAUUUUGAACAAAAAUAAGAAUGGGCUGAUUCUCUUUAAUCAUCUUCACAUGAUUGCAACUAUUCCUUUUGGGCUUCACCAUAACGAAUUUGGAUUUCUUUGGGCCGUAAUAUUUUAAGUGGCGGACUUCUUACAAAUGAACUCCAACAUUUUAUUUUGGGCUUUCUUGUAAGUUUUUCAUAUUAUUGGGCCGAUCCAACAACACAAAAAUGGGCUAUUUUUCAAAAUAAAUUCAACCAAUCAACCGUUCAUCGUUCGUGUGCUGCGACUUCGUCACACAAAAUUCGAUUUUAGAAGAUGUUUUGCAGUCCAAUCCACUCAACAACUUUUCGAAAGAAAAAAAAACUGGGAUAAGAGUAGUAGAUUACUACUACCCGUGAAACAUUUCGAAAUAACCCUCAGCAACCGUGUUGCUCGACUAUCGGCAGCCGUGUUGACCAACUUCAAGCAGUCUCGCUACUCAAGCUCUCACCAUUCAUGUCAAACGACCCUCACUAGUCUCGCUGCUCAGCUCACCAGUCAUCAAUAGUCACAUUGUCUGACCAGCAGCCGCACUACCCAACUCUUGCUAGCGCUUGCAUCACCCAACUCUUUCUAGCAGUUGUGUAGCUCAGUUGUCAGCAACUAUAUAUCUGCCAUNAGAAAUGGCAAAAAAAAAAAAAAAGGGGGGGGGGGGGGGAGAAGAGUUGGCACGACACUAUGUAGAAGUGAUUUUUUAUUCCGAAGGGGCAGAGUUAAAGUAUAUGAAGAGCUGACGUUAUGCAGGAUAGUGCAUUCCCGGAGUGACAUUAAUAUUCCGGAUCAAAUGAGCAGCUUCGUGGUUCAAACCUCGGUAGUCUCGUUGGCCAUCUGUCAGUGGUUGUGCUGAUCAUCUAUCGCUAGCAGCUCGAUGCUCAAUUCUUAACAGCCUUGGUGACCAGCUCUAAGUAGCAUUGUUGUAUAGCCCUCAACAGACAGCCAAGACAGCGAGGCACCAAUCGUCAAUACUACUAAUAAUGCAGCAAAGCAUCUUGUGCCAUCACACUUUAACUCAGACUGAUCGCCCGGUACAAACAUAAAAGAUCGCAUGUUGUUGCGCCCAAUCGUGCAAGGUUCAACAUCCUUGCCUUGAUAAGGUUGGCUUCUCAACCCGACUCCAUUAUAGCGGCACGCUCCGCAUGUGAGGUUCGACACCCUUGCCUUGAGUCGCCUGGCUCCUCGGCCCGGCUCCAUUAUUGCGGCAUGCUUCGCAUGCGUGGUUUAGUACUCUUGCCUUGAGUCGCUUGGCUUCUCAACCCGACUCCAUUAUAUCGGCGUGCUCCUCAUGCAAGUUUCAACACCCAUUCCUUGAGUCAUCUGGCUUCUCGGCCCGACUCCAUUAUAGCGGCAAGCUCUGCAUGCGAGGUGAUGGGUUUUAGCUAUAAGAACAUCCCAUGUGCUCAUACAAACCCUAAUGCUUGGAUCUAGGUUUCUCUAUUGUACAUGCAAGUUAUCCAAGACUAUAAACCCUAGAUCUAGCAUAUGAUGAUCAAUAUAACAUAUGAAUUAGGGUUUAGAUCAUACCUUGAUUGUUAUGUAGCAAUAACAAUCUCAAUUCUCCUUGUAAUGACUUUAGAAAGCUUAGAGUCACAAAUGUCACUCCUCUAAUGGUUCACAAACACCAAGAGCAAGAGGAUGAAGAGGAGAAGAGAAGGAGGCUGCCCAAAACGUGUGGAAACCCUAAUCAACUAGUUCCCCACGUUUUUGAGCCAUACGGGUCCUUUAAAUAGUGAAGCUAUUAGGGUUAUCAAAUAAGGAAACCUUAAUUUGGAUGCUUAGGCCCUAAGAAACCCAUGGACUACUUUCCUUAAAGGCCUAGGAUGAUUUCUAAUGGGUUUCCCAUAGAAUUCGUCCACCCCUUUGAUAUAUAGUCCAUUAGCUCAAUAUUCAACUAUCAUACAAUUGACAGUUCAAGUCCUUUAANAGUCCCUUAAGUUUAAUUAAUCUCUUUUAGUCACAAACUUAAUUCUUAUUAAUUCUUGACUAAUAUUAAUUAAACAAUAUGAUUUCUCCUUUAAUAUAUUAUUCUCAUAAUAUAUUAAUAAAUCAUAUUUAAUCCUUUAUCUCCAUAAUUCAUCCUAUCAAGUUGCUUUGGUGAAGGCAACCCAAAAGGACCAUGCACCAUCGGGUCAAGUACAUACCAAAAUAGUUAUGGACUUAGACACUAAUCCAAAAGUCUCCCACUUGAUAUAAGUCUAAUAAAUAUUCUGCGUAUAACUUCAAAUCCUGAUCUGCAAUCGUAGCUUUCUAAAGCCGCUGUCAACUCUGAUCUUAUCAGAUACGCGUGUUCUUUAGAUAAGGGAUCAUAUAUUCCUCCAUUCUAGAUAUCGUAUAGACUGAGACAUGGAUCUAAACCAUUCUCUCUGUCUAUGUGUUGUUUCCUGAAUUCAGAUUUAUGACGACUGACAACAGACUACAAUUGAAAACAUCAAUUUAGUCCUAGCUUGGCCAAGCACUUAGGUGCCAUCACUAAAUCAUCGAGGGGCCCACAAAUAUCGUUUUUAUCCUACUUUGGAUAAAAGGAACGGAUAAAAUUUGACUCAAUGCUCGCUUUCACUCACUUACCGAAUCACACACAAUAAUAUGUUUUAUAACACCAAGUUACUGGUGCGUUUACAUAUUAUCAAUGUGCAACCGAUUUGCAAGAUACAACUCACACAUCUCGGUUUCAAGAAUAUAAGAUGUUAUCGUCUCACCAAUCACUCGUGAUACAAUUCAUGAAGUGAUCCAAGUGAGCAUGGGUUUAAUCCAAUGCUCAAAUCAUAUUCAUAAGCACUCAUGAACGUUGCAGCAAACAUUUGCUUAUGUCUAAUACUCUUUAGACAAUCCACACACCAAUUCACGACAGUCUUCAUUCAUACCUACUUCCAACAUAUGAACGACUGUGGCCCGUUCGAAUAAUUUGACUGUUCUAAACCAAUUAAAUUAUUCAGGAAGUCAAAACAUGCAAAGUGAAACACAAGAAUAAUACUAAUCCCAUAUGGCCUCAAACCUUUGAGUAUAAAUAAAACACCUUUUAUUUAUCACCAUAUCGAUUACUCAUUAUUUGUCGUUUCGGGUAAUCAACUUCUUACUUGAAUUAUUACACUUGUCCCAUGCUCUUAGCAUGCACACAAUGUUUACCUAUGGUUCUUACUUUGUGAAAUAGAUCAAAUGAACACAUUUCCAAUCAUACUCAUUUCACAACUCCUAAUCCUUUUCACAAGUGAAAGAAUAUCAAAUUCUUGCCACUUAUGGAAUAUGUUAGAUUCUAACAUUUUAUGCAAUGAUCCUUUUGUAAUGUCACUGCACUAAAGUCACAAUGACUAUUGCCAAUGAAAUUACAAAGUCCUCUAUCGGAGAUUGUUACAAGACAAUUCCUUAGAUAUGAUGUCUCUCACUCAAAGUACAUUCCUUUGAACAUCCUUUUGCAUAAAAGUUUCUAAUCUAGACAUAGAUUUUCAAUAUUCAAUUCCCAAUAUGGACACGUUUCCAUAUUUUCCAUAUGACAACUCAUUCUUAAUAGAAUCUUAUCUAUUCAUAAUAAUGUCGAUAUGGUCCAUCCAAUACUAUACUUCCAACUACUCACAAGCGACCAAUCCUCGGCGAACUUUGGAUUGUCCUUUGAUAGUUGUUUAAUUAUCUUAGUCAAAACCGAUUCUUGUCCUUUUUCCCUCUAAAUGCGCUAGACAUUUGGAAAAUUUUAGAAUGGUCAAAUAUUAUAGCAUUUGCAAUCGAUCCUAUACCCGAAGCGUAUGGGACACGAUGCAUAAUGUCUUACAUAAAGAUUUGAUACUUUAUCAAUCUUCUGCCAUAAUAUUUUAUGUGCUACGUUCUCAAAAUUCGAACUAUGAAGAGGAAUGUCGUAAUCAUAAUCGAAAUUUGAGAACACACUAUGUAUCCUUGACUAAAUUUAUUAACAUUCCACAACCUAAGCCUUUAGAUUUGAAAUGAAGCAUAAUAUUCUCUCCCUUAAUUAUAGCAAAACAACUAUUCAACCCUUACAACUUUGCAAAGUAUGACUCUUGUUUUCUAUAAUUAAUAUUGCUAACUUGCAAUACUUGCCUUAAUAAUCAUACAAUCAUAACAUUUAUGCUCCCACUAUCAUGAUGAUUAUUAUAAACAUAACACUUAUGCUCCCACUAGCUUUGACAUGUAUUCAGAAACCAGCUUAACUUCCAGAAAAACAAUACUUAUUGAAUUUCUUAAGUUCAUGUUUCUAAUACCUAAUGCUUUGAUAAUCCUUUAUCUAAGCUUAUACACCUUUCCCUUAGAUAGCUCAUAUGUGUGUCUAAACAAUUCAGACUAAUUGCCAAAUCUCACAAUUCGAAUCAUGGAAAGGGAUACCGUAACCAUAAUCGAAUUCGAGAAUACAAUUUUCACAAUCACUAUCUUCUUAAAAUCUUUCUUAGUGAAAGCAUUUCCUCACAGUCAUUUUCAUGAAGGAGGGAAUCUUAUGACACUUAGAUUUUAAUGGUGUAUGUGUUCCUAUCCAUGUGAAUUUGUCAAAACCAAAGUUUACGACAAAUUCAAACUCAUAUGGACCGAACUUUCUUAAUCUUGAUUUCUUGCCUUAUGGUAGCACAGCUGCCCACCAUGUCUUCCAAGUAGUUAAGCAGCUCACCCUUUCCUAUCAAUGUACUUUUCAUUGAUCAAGGUGCUUGCCUUUUAUGCGUUCAAAUGAGAACUCAUAGAACUCACAUGCAUAAUUAACUCAAUUGGAAUGGCACAGAAACAAGAUAGUGUCAACACGAUAGGUUGUAAACCUCAACUCGUGUGCUAGUGAUGAUCGAUAAGGUUUAUUUUGAUUUGUUCUUGAAACCUUUCAAGACCAUUAAGACUCCCACUGACUCCUUGACAUAUAAGAUUCUCUUGUCAAUAAACAUUUCUUGACAAACAAAUAUUCAAGAGUUAGUGUAGUUUUUAUCAAAACACUUCAUAAAUUGGUCCUAGUUGGUCUUUGUCUUAUCCAAGACAUCACAACUUUCCACAUUUGAUGAAUGUUAUAAACCUUCUUAAUACUUAUCACUCAAUGUCACAAUCUUAACUCUAAGACUUGUUUUGGAACGAAGUAUGAUUGACUUCUUGAUUUAACCAUUUCUUCAAUUCUUGAUUCCUCUUCUUAGACAUACAAUUGUACUAAGACUCACUUAGAGGAUCAAUUGAGAUAUGGUUCUUAAUCAUUAAGACCUAUCAUAAAGCAUAAAAGGUACUCUCCCUUCUUCUUAGAAUGGAGAAACUUUUAUCUUUCUGCCUACUUGAUUCUUCUUAUUCGUUCUGCUAUUGAUUUAAACUUUUUCAAUCAAUUCAGAAUUACACUUAAUCUUAUAAGUAUAAUCAUAUUUACUAAACCUUUAGUAAAUCAUGACGAAUAUCUUUGUUACUCUUAUGGUGGACUUGAUCAACACGCAACUUUGUGUACUCGAUCUCCUAGUCCUUCACUUGACACUUUGUCAAUGAAUUAGUCUAAUUUCCAAAUAUGAAAUUUCUCAUUCAUCGUGCAACCAAGUUGCAUGAUUCCAAGUUUCUGUCCAAUUGAAACUUGGGCGAUGAGAAACUCUCCCUAUUUGGUAAAUUCUCGACUUUCCAUAAAUAACAUAAUAAGAACCAAAUCCAUUAUUGCUAAUAAUAGAAACAUUCAAACAUCAAUUUUUCAUAUACGCCAUUGCAAGGAUAAAUAAAUAAUAUAAAAUCAAAAUUUAUUUUAUUGCGGAAAAAUUUUUCCUUACAAUGCAAUUCAUUGAAAAACUAUGCUAAUACAUCUUUCUUAGCAAUCUAAUUCUAACUCUAAGUAGUAGCUCAAGAAUCUAAUCUUCGAGAAAUGCGAUCGAAAUCCAUUCCUUCACGGUUAGAUUCUGCUCACUUCUUCCCUUAAGCUUCCUUUCUUUUCUUCGAUCCUACAAAACAUCAAUUGUAAUCUUAUCACAUUAUGUAUUAAGAAUCUAGAAUAGAAGCUUAAAAGAGUUAGUUAAUGGAUUUUACCUAUAUUAGAGCCAUACGUUUCGACUCUCCCAUCUCUUAGAUCUCUUAGGUAAAUGGGGCAGCUUCGUCUCCAAUGCCCUUUCUCUUGGCAAUAAAAGCAAAUUGACUCUUUUGGAACAUGACAUGGAACUACUUCAGACAUUGCCUUUCUCUUAUGAUCAAACUUUUCGAUCAUAGCAUGUCUUUCGUUGCCAUUGUCUAUAUCCAUAGAGGUCUUGAAGGCAGAUUCACCAAUCAACUUUGCUUUUCUAUUGCGCCAAACCAUUGCUGAUUCAGCAGCAAUAAGCAUAUAGGUGAGAUCUAUAAGGGUCACGUCGCGGUUCAUCAUAUAGUACUCUCUUACGAACUCACUAUAUGAGUUAGGAAGUGACUGAAGAACCCAAUCAACAGCCAUUUCCUCACAGACAACGGAUCCCAACAUUCUUAACCUAUCAAUGUGUGACUUCAUCCCUAGGACGUGUGCACACACCGACUUUCCUUCUUUAUGUUUACUUGCCAAAAGGGCUUGAGUGAUCUUGAACUUUUCAAGCCUUUGAACUUGUGGGUUAGGGAGAAUAAUUGGAGGAGGUGGAGGAAGUGAAGCAUGAUUUCUUGUUCCUCGAUCGAAUCGUGGAAUAUCAUCUUCAUGUGGAAUGCUUGUUCCACGGGAUUUGGGAAGACCAUAGUUGUCGAACUUUGACAUCUACAAAACGGGAGAAAACGAAUUCAAGUUAGUUGAUUGAUUGAGUCCUUAGUAAAUCACCCAAAUGAGAUACUAAGGCUAGGACCCAACACAAUAUUCUACAACUCGGGAGAGGGAUGCCGUAACCCAAAUUGCAGAACAUUUGAAGGUAAGUGAAUGACGAUUCACUAAUUUCCACCAUGAAAAACGAAAAAGAAAUUUAAGUUUUAAAUCUAUGAAAACUCCUAGAUCCUUUGAGAUUCAUUGAACAUUUCAAUGGCAUGUUUAAAUCUCGAUAUGCCCCUCUUGUUUGUGACUGGGAUGCCGAGGAUCACAAAGCGGGUGUGAAUAACCAUGCAAACUUACAUGGUGCCCUCACAUGUUACAGUCACCUAUUCGAUGUGCCGGUAAACCACACACGCUCCACCGAACUAUGACAAACAUUGAGUCACCCUUUGCUACCUUUGCUUAGAACCAUUUAGUGUGCCGGUAAACCACACACGCUCCACUAACGUCUUCGCAAGGGCACAAAGUGUAAUUUCAUGGAAUUGCAUCAAUUCACUUUUGCCUAAGUAACUAAGAUUGGGAAUUUUAUGAAAACAUUUAGUUACUUUUAUACUUCAUUAUACUUAUAAUGGAAGGUUUUGUCCUAUCCUACCCGUUCGGCUAACGACCCUCCACUAGUCAAGAGUGCGGUGGGUAAGAGUGGAUACCCAUUCAAUCGCCAUUUUAUAGGCAAUUUCCUUAAACACCCCUUAUAGACCAGCUUCGUGAAUGAGGCCUACUAACGGUAAGACUGACUUUUACUCAUACAUAUAUAUAAUGUUAGACUUUUAAUGUUAUAUAUAGUAUAGGGUGUAUUUUACACUUUUAAAAUACUAGGUGGUCAAAUUUAACAAUUAUACUUUUAAUUCAAUUAAAUUGUAAACCUAAACUUUUAUGGAUUUAUUAAACCUCUUUUAAUUAUACACCUUAAUUAAUUAAUAAAACCAUAAGGGUGUGAUUUGAACUUUUUCAAAACUAUACUAGAGUUUUAGAAUUUAACAUUCCUAAUUAAACUUUUAAUCAACUUUUAAAUUCCAAAACUUGAGGGCAAGUUUUGAAACAUUUCAACACAUUAGGGUUUAGAAUUUAAAUAUACAUCAAAAUUAAACUAUUUAAUCAAAAUUUAAAUUCCAAAACUUGAGGGCAAGUUUUGAAACCUUUUUCAAAACAUUAGGGUUUCAACUAUUUAAAUUUCAAAACAACAAAACUUUUGGGUUCAAAUUUAAACUAUAAAACCUAAAGGGGAAAAUAUGAAACUUUUCAUAACAACAAGGAUCAAAUAACAAAUAAUCUAAAUUAACAUUUAAUCACAUAAUUAUCCAUAUUUGAUUUAUUUAAUGAUUUCUUGCAAAACAAUUUAUCAAUUUAAUCAAAAUAAUUAAUCAAUUAUCACAUAAGGAAACAAUUAUCUUAUUAAUUGAUAAAUAUCUUCAAUUAGAUCAAGAAUAUAGUCAAAUAUAUCAUAAAAUCGGAUUUAUAUUGAUCUAAUAUGAUAAGGUAACUAUCCCUAAGCAAAAACAGCAAGAAAUCCCGAGAUAUGCUCCAUCUGACGAGUUGACUCGUCGAGUCAAGCUUGGACUCGUCGAGUCUGCAUGGACUCGGCGAGUUCAGCUAUGGACUCGGCGAGUCCAGCCUCCAGAACAUCAAAAAUCGAAUUUUUUGAACAUGUAAUGCAUCAAUACAAUUGAAACCAGUCUAGGCUCUGAUACCACUGAUGGGUUUUGGUCAUAAGACAUCCUAUGUGCUCAUACAAACCCUAAUGCUUGGAUCUAGGUUUCUCUAUUGUACAUGCUUUGAAUCCAAGACUAUAAACCCUAAUUCUAGCAUAUGGAAAUCAAUAUUAACAUAUAAUUAGGUUUAAGAUAUUACCUUGAUUGUUAUGUAGCAAUAACAAUCCCAAUUCCUCCUUGAAUUGACUUUGGAAGGCUUAGAGUCACAAGUGUCACUCCUCUAAUGGCUUACAAACACCAUAAGCAAGAGGAUGAAGAGGAGAGAGGAUGGAGGCUACCAAAAACGUGUUCUAACCCUAGAAGAGAUGUUCCCAACGUUUUUGAGCCUUAAGGGUUCUAUAUAUAGUGAGGCUAUUAGGGUUAUCUAACAAGGAAACCCUAAUUUGGUUGCUUAAGCCCUAAGCAACCCAUAGACUCCUUUAAUCAAGCCCUUGGACGAUUUCCUUAUGGGCUUCCCAUAAGAAUUCGUCCACCUCUUGAUUUAAGACAAUCCAUGGCCCAAAUUGCAAUUAUCUUAUAAUUACAAUUCCAGUCCCUUAAGUUUAAUUAAUCUCUUUUAGUCACAAAACUAAUUACCAAUUAAUUAUUGACUAAUAUUAAUUAAACAAUAUGAUUUCUCCUUUAAUAUAUUAUUCUCAUAAUAUAUUAAUAAAUCAUAUUUAAUCCUUUCUCUCCAUAAUUCAUCCUAUCAAGUUGCUUUGGUGAAGGCAACCCAAAAGGACCAUGCACCAUCGGGUCAAGUACAUACCAAAAUAGUUAUGGACUUAGACACUAAUCCAACAGUCUCCCACUUGGAUAAGUCUAAUAACUAUUCUGCGUAUGACUUCAGAUCCUGAUCUGCAAUCGUAGCUUUCCAAAGCCGCUGUCAACUCUGAUCCUAUCAGAUACGCGUGUCCUUAGAUAAGGGAUCAUAUAUUCCUCCAUUCUAGAUAUCAUAUGAGAUAUGAUUUCAAAUCAUUCUCUUUGUACUAUAUCUCGAUUCCCGAUUUAUGACGACUGACUAAUUGAACAAAUCAAAUUAGCCCUAGCCCGGCCGAGCAUUUACGUUUGUCAUCACUAAAUCAUCGAGGGGCCCAAAGAUAUCGCUUUUAUCCUACUUUGGAUAAAAGGAACGGAUAAACUUUGAUACAAUGCUUGCUUGCACUCACUCACCGAAUCACACACAACAAUAUGUUUUAUAACACCAAGUUACUAGUGCGUUUACAUAUUAUCAAUGUGCAACCGAUUUGCAAGAUACAACUCACACAUCUCGGUUUCAAGAAUAUAAGAUGUUAUCGUCUCACCAAUCACUCGUGAUACAAUUCAUGGAGUGAUCCAAGUGAGCGUGGGUUUAAUCCAAUGCUCAAAUCAUAUUCAUAAGCACUCAUGAACGUUGCAGCAAACAUUUGCUUAUGUCUAAUACUCUUUAGACAAUCCACACACCAAUUCACGACAGUCUUCAUUCAUACCUACUUCCAACAUAUGAACGACUGUGGCCCGUUCGAAUAAUUUGACUGUUCUUAACCAAUUAAAUUAUUCAGGAAGUCAAAACAUGCAAAGUGAAACACAAGAAUAAUACUAAUCCCAUAUGGCCUCAAACCUUUGAGUAUAAAUAAAACACCUUUUAUUUAUCACCAUAUCGAUUACUCAUUAUUUGUCGUUUCGGGUAAUCAACUUCUUACUUGAAUUAUUACACUUGUCCCAUGCUCCUAGCAUGCACACAAUGUUUACCUAUGGUUCUUACUUUGUGAAAUAGAUCAAAUUGAACACAUUUCCAAUCAUUCUCAUUUCACAACUCCAAAUCCUUUUUCAUAAGUGAAAGAAUAUCAAAUUCUUGCUACUUAUAGAAUAUGCUAGAUUCUAACAUUUUAUGCAAUGAUCCUUUCGUAAUGUCACUGCACCAAAGUCACAAAGACUAUUGCCAAUGAUAUUACAAAGUCCUCUAUCGGAGAUUGUUACAAGACAAUUCCUUAGAUAUGAUGUCUCUCACUCAAAGUACAUUCCUUUGAACAUCCUUUUGCAUAAAAGUUUCUAAUCUAGACAUAGAUUUUCAAUAUUCAAUUCCCAAUAUGGACACGUUUCCAUAUUUUCCAUAUGACAACUCAUUCUUAAUAGAAUCUUAUCUAUUCAUAAUAAUGUCGAUAUGGUCCAUCCAAUAUGGAAACAUUUCCAUAUUUUCCAAUACUAUACUUCCAACUACUCACAAGCGACCAAUCCUCGUCGAACUUUGGAUUGUCCUUUGAUAGUUGUUUAAUUAUUUUAGUCAAAACCGAUUCUAGUCCUUUUUCCCUCUAAAUGCGCUAGACAUUUGGAAAAUUUUAGAAUGGUCAAACAUUAAAGCAUUUGCAAUCGAUCCUAUACCCGAAGCGUAUGGGACACGACGCAUAAUGUUUUAUUUGCUAUGUUCUCAAAAUUCGAAUUGUGAAGAGGAAUGCCGUAAUCAUAAUCGAAAUUUUAAGAACACACUAUGUACCUUUGACUAAAUUUAUUAACAUUUCUCAACCUAAUCCUUUAGAUUUGAAAUGAAGCAUAAUAUUCUCUCCCUUAAUUAUAGCAAAACAACUUUUCAACCCUUACGACUUUGCAAGGUAUAACUCUUGUUUUCUAUAAUUAAUAUUGCCAACUUGCAAUACGUGCCUUAAUAAUCAUACAAUCAUAACAUUUAUGCUCCCACUAUCAUGAUGAUUAUUAUAAAACAUAACACUUAUGCUCCCACUAGCUUCGACAUGUAUUCAUAAACAUCUUAACUUUCAGAAAAACAAUACUUAUUGAAUUUCUUAAGUUCAUGUUUCUAAUACUUAGUGCUUUGAUAAUCUUUUAUCAAGGCUUCUUGAACUUAUACACCUUUGCCUUCGAUAGUUCAUAUGUGUGUCUAAACAAUUAAGACUAAUUGCCAAACCUCACAAUUCAAAUUAUGGAAAGGGAUACCGUAACCAUAAUCGAAUUCGAGAAUGCAAUUUUACAAUCACUAUCUUCUUAAAAUCUUUCUUAGUGAAAGCAUUUCCUCACAAUCAUUUUCAUGAAGGAGGAAAUCUUAUGACACUUAGAUUUAAACGGUGUAUGUGUUCCUAUCCAUGUGAAUUUGUUAAAACCAAAGUUUACGACAAAUUCAAACUCAUAUGGACCGAACUUUCUUAAUCUUGAUUUCUUGCCUUAUGGUAGCACAGCUGCCCACCAUGUCUUCCAAGUAGUUAAGCAGCUCACCCUUUCCUAUCAAUGUACCUUUCAUUGAUUAAGGUGCUUUGCCUUUUAUGCGUUCAAAAUGAGAACUCAUAGAACUCACAUGCAUAAUUAACUCGAUUGGAUUGGCACAGAAUCAAAAUAAUGUCAACACGAUAGGUUGUAAACCUCAACUCGUGUGCUAGUGAUGAUCGAUAAGGUUUAUUUGAUUUGUUCUUGAAACCUUUCAAGACCAUUAAGACUCCCACUGACUCCUUGACAUAUAAGAUUCUCUUGUCAAUAACCAUUUCUUGACAAACAAAUAUUCAAGAGUUAGUGUAGCUUUUAUCAAAACACUUCAUAAAUUGGUCCUAGUUGGUCUUUGUCUUAUCCAAGACAUCACAACUUUCCACAUUUAAUGAAUGUUAUAAACCUUCUUAAUACUUUUCACUCAAUGUCACAAUCUUAACUUUAAGACUUGUUUUGGAACGAAGUAUGAUUGACUUCUUGAUUUAACCAUUUCUUCAAUUCUUGAUUCCUCUUCUUAGACAUACAAUUGUACUAAGACUCACUUAGAGGAUCAAUUGAGAUAUGGUUCUUAAUCAUUAAGACCUAUCAUAAAGCAUAAAAGGUACUCUCCCUUCUUCUUAGAAUGGAGAAACUUUUAUCUUUCUGCCUACUUGAUUCUUCUUAUUCGUUCUGCUAUUGAUUUAAACCUUUUCAAUCAAUUCAGAAUUACACUUAAUCUUAUAAGUAUAAUCAUAUUUACUAAACCUUUAGUAAAUCAUGACGAAUAUCUUUGUUACUCUUAUGGUGGACUUGAUCAACACGCAACUUUGUGUACUCGAUCUCCUAGUCCUUCACUUGACACUUUGUCAAUGAAUUAGUCUAAUUUCCAAAUAUGAAAUUUCUCAUUCAUCGUGCAACCAAGUUGCAUGAUUCCAAGUUUCUGUCCAAUUGAAACUUGGGCGAUGAGAAACUCUCCCUAUUUGGUAAAUUCUCGACUUUCCAUAAAUAACAUAAUAAGAACCAAAUCCAUUAUUGCUAAUAAUAGAAACAUUUUAACAUCAAUUUUUCAUACACGCCAUUGUAAGGAUAAAUAAAUAAAAUUUAAAAUCAAAAUUUAUUUUAUUGCGGAAAAAUUUGUCCUUACAAUGCAACUCAUUGAAAAACUUAUGCUAAUACAUCUUUCUUAGCAAUCUAAUUCUAACUCUAAGUAGUAGCUCAAGAAUCUAAUCUUCGAGAAAUGCGAUCGAAAUCCAUUCCUUCACGGUUAGAUUCUGCUCACUUCUUCCCUUAAGCUUCCUUUCUUUUCUUCGAUCCUACAAAACAUCAAUUGUAAUCUUAUCACAUUAUGUAUUAAGAAUCUAGAAUAGAAGCUUAAAAGAGUUAGUUAAUGGAUUUUACCUAUAUUAGAGCCAUACGUUUCGACUCUCCCAUCUCUUAGAUCUCUUAGGUAAAUGGGGCAGCUUCGUCUCCAAUGCCCUUUCUCUUGGCAAUAAAAGCAAAUUGACUCUUUUGGAACAUGACAUGGAACUACUUCAGACAUUGUCUUUCUCUUAUGAUCAAACUUUUCGAUCAUAGCAUGUCUUUCGUUGCCAUUGUCUAUAUCCAUAGAGGUCUUGAAGGCAGAUUCACCAAUCAACUUUGCUUUUCUAUUGCGCCAAACCAUUGCUGAUUCAGCAGCAAUAAGCAUAUAGGUGAGAUCUAUAAGGGUCACGUCGUGGUUCAUCAUAUAGUACUCUCUUACGAACUCACUAUAUGAGUUAGGAAGUGACUGAAGAACCCAAUCAACAGCCAUUUCCUCACAGACAACGGAUCCCAACAUUCUUAACCUAUCAAUGUGUGACUUCAUCCCUAGGACGUGUGCACACACCGACUUUCCUUCUUUAUGUUUACUUGCCAAAAGGGCUUGAGUGAUCUUGAACUUUUCAAGCCUUUGAACUUGUGGGUUAGGGAGAAUAAUUGGAGGAGGUGGAGGAAGUGAAGCAUGAUUUCUUGUUCCUCGAUCGAAUCGUGGAAUAUCAUCUUCAUGUGGAAUGCUUGUUCCAUGGGAUUUGGGAAGACCAUAGUUGUCGAACUUUGACAUCUACAAAACGGGAGAAAAAUAAAUUCAAGUUAGUUGAUGAUUGAGCCCUUAGUAAAUCACCCAAAUGAGAUACUAAGGCUAGGACCCAACACAAUAUUCUACAACUCGGGAGAGGGAUGCUGUAACCCAAAUUGCAGAACNUAAAUCUCAAUAUGCCCCUCUAGUUUGUGACUGGGAUGCCGAGGAUCACAAAGCGGGUGUGAAUAACAAUGCAAAUCUACAUGGUGCCCUCACAUGUUACAGUCACCUAUUCGAUGUGUCGGUAAACCACACACGCUACACCAAACUAUGACAAACAUUGAGUCACCCUUUGCUACCUUUGCUUAGAACCAUUUAGUGUGCCGGUAAACCACACUCGCUCCACUAACGUCUACGCAAGGGCACAAAGUGUAAUUUCAUGGAAUUGCAUCAAUUCACUUUUGCCUAAGUAACUAAGAUCAGACUGAGGGGACUUGAUAAUAUAUGGUCCAUUAGCAUGGCCAAGACUACUCUAGAGUGCCAGCCUAGCCUGGCGCGCUCCUGCUAGCCCUGCCUGGCAUUCCCUUGCCAGCCUUGCCUGGCGCUCCCUUGCCAUCCGUCCUGGGGACUAUCCUACCGGCCCGGCCCAACGCUCCCUUGCCUUGCGCCUCCUUGCCGGCCUUUCCUGGUGCGCGCCCAUCAGCCUUAUCUAGGGCGCACCCGCCAGCCCUGCCCGACGCCUUCGGGUAGCCUUGCCCAUCUCCUUGCUAGUUGGGCCUGAAUUGGGCUAGCCCAAGGCCUGACCUAAUUCCCCUUGACCUAAUUGUCCACUAUAAAUAGAAUAGUGUCUCCUACAUAUAGGAGGACUCUUCCCCAAAUGGAUCAGCCGCCACUAGAUCUCUCCCCAUGGCUCAGCCGCUACUCGUCGUUACUGUCAGCCACCAUACACCACCACCAACACCAGGAUGGUUCUCUCUAGCUAUGGAAGACUAUCUUAGAUCUACCAGCUGAUCUAACUUGAUCGUCGGAGUCCGCUCCCGGGGGACAGUCCCUGGGGCGGCUCUAACGACCUUGUCUGUUGUGACCUCGAAGAUCUGUCUCCGGCAUAGAAGCACUCCCUGAGAGCAAGUGGUCAGAGACGAAAUUGCAUCAGUGUUUAUUGUAGAUUCACUACUGACAUGUCUGAUAUGCUGGUAUAUGAGAAUGUGCUAAUAUUUAUUGACUAGAUAUGUGAAGACCCCGGGGGGAGCCCGUGGCAGUUAGAUAUAAGACCAUGUGGGGGAGCCUAUGGCAUUCUAGGUAAAGACCAUGUGGGGGAGCCCAUGGAAAGUAGUUUAGACCAUGUGGGGGAGCCAAUGACACAUAGAGUAAGACCCUGUAGGGAGUCGACGACAUCCUUAUAGGGUUAUGUAUGAGUUAUGUAGUAUGAUAGAUAUUUCUAUGAUAUAUGAUAUGCUAGUUGACUUGGGUUAUUUGCAUGGAAGACCCUAGGGGGAGCCCAUGGUAGUUGGAUAUAAGACUAUGUGGGGGAGCCCAUCGCAUUCCUAGGUAAAGACCAUGAGGGGAUCCUAUGGCUUGUAGGUAUAAGACCCUGGGAGGAGCCUACAACAUCCUUAUAUGUUGUAUGCAUGGAUUAUGUGGUUUAUGUAGCUUAUAUAGAUAAUAUGGAUUAUGUGAUUGUGUGGCUUGUGUGGGGUAUGCUCUGGGGAACUCACUAAGCAUUAGCUUACUGAUGUGACAUCGGCUCCGACCACCUUCGUUGAGGAUGUGCUUCUACGCUGGAGACGAAUCUGCGAGGUCACAACAGACAAGGCCGUUAGAGCCGCCCCAGGUACUGUGCCCCGGGAGUGGGCUCCGACGGUCAAUUUAGAUCAUUCAGAAGAUCUAAGAUGGCUCUCUUUAGCUAGAGAGAACCAUCUUGGUGCUGGUGGUGGUGUAUGGUGGCUGACGACGGUGGGUGGCGGCUGAGCCACCCGGCCAGAGUAUAGUGUGGCGACUGAGCCAAGGGGAAGAUCCCUCUCCAUAGUGGAGGUAUUGUUCACUUUAGAGGGGAAAAUUAGGUCAGGCCUUGGGCCAGCCCAAUUCAGGACCAACUAGCAAGAAGAUGGGUGAGGCCGCCCGGAGGCGCCGGGCGAGGUUGGUGGGCGCGCACUAGGAAAGGCUAGCAAGGGAGCGUCAGGUCAGGCCAACAGGAGAGUCCCCAGCAAGGCUGGCAAGGGAUUACCCAGGCUGGGUCAACAGGAGAGUCCUCAGCAAGGCUGGAAAGGGAGUCCCCAGGUCGGGCCAGCAGGAGAGUCCCCAGCAAGGCUGGCAAGGGAGCGCCAGGUGAGGCUGGCAAGGAAGCGCCAAGCUGUCUAGGCCAUGCUAAUGGACCAUAUAUCAUCAAUUCCCCCAUUCUGAUGUUAUUGGUACACGGCCAAUGACAUUGGACUGGACUCAAUCAUAUAAACCAUGUGUCAUCAGGCUGGCAAGGGAGCACCAAGCUGGGCCAGCCGGAGAGUCCCCAACAGGGCUGGCAAGGAAGUCCCCAACAAGGCUGGCAAGGGAGCGCCAAGCCGGGCCAGCCGGAGAGUCCCCAACAGGGCUGGCGAGGGAGUCCCCAGCAAGGUUGGCAAGGGAGUGCCAGGCGAGGCUGGCGCACCAGAGCUGUCUAGGCCAUGCUAAUGGACCAUAUAUCAUCAAGUCCCCCUAGUCCGAUGUUAUUGGUAUGCGGCCAAUGACAUUUGAUUGGACUUAGUCAUAUAAAUUGUGUGUCAUCAAGUCCCCCUAGUCCGAUCAGAUCAGACUAGACAAAGAACCAAUACUUGAAAUAAUAAAGAGAACGACCAAACCUCGCCCACGAGAUCUGUAGUGAUGCGAUGAGCCAAGCAUUGUUAGUGCAACCUGAGCUGACUUGAUACUCCUUCAUUGAGAGGAAUGUGAUCUGGUUGGUGUGAUGCAACGUAACCGUUGUUGCGAUCAAGCGGAGUGAGGUUGCUAAUAAUAUUAUGCGGAGCGGGGCUGCUANGUGGCCUGGCUCCCCAGCCCGGCUCCACUACAACGACAUGCUCCGACCGACGAGGCUCAAAGGUUUGCAACCUUUGCCUACAUGAUUCCACGCGAUGCUCUCCUGCGUGUUGUAUCUACGAUCGCUGACAGCCAAUCCCGAUCCGUUCCACACGAUGCUCUCCCGCGUGAUGCAUCUACGAUUGCUAGCAGUCAAGCCCGAUCCAUUCCACACGAUGCUUCCCCACGUGAUGUAUUUACGAUCUCUGGCAGCCAAGCCCGAUCCAUUCCACGCGAUGCUUUCCCACAUGAUAAAUCUACGAUCUAUGGCAGCUAAGCCCGAUCCAUUCCACGCGAUGCUCUCCCGUGACAUCUCCAUGAUCGUUAACUACUAAGCCCAAGAUAUUCUUCUAAUUUGCGCAACAUAAGUCACACAUCGUUGUGCACCAUAAGUCGUGCAUCACAAGCUUAUUCGACGCCUAACACCAUGAUCUCAGUGUUUCCUCUCUCACAGUUGUCAUGGUUCUCUUGUGCUUGGACGAUCGACGAAGCGUUUUCUAUAUUAUAUCCUGCUAUAGUGAGGUUACUCUCAAUCAAGAAGGUUAUUCCGGCAGCGGCCCUACUACCUACUACCUUUCAGCACCUCUACUUCCUGGCUCUCGGAAACGGUCUGGUUGCGCAACCCCUACCUAUAGCCUCGCCAUAUAUCCUCAGCAUAUCUGUUGCCUGGCGCUCGGAAACAGUCUUGCUGCACAACCCCAACCUGUAGCGUUGGCCGCGUAUCCCUCAUCGUAUCUGUUCCCUGGUGCUCGGAAACGAUCUUUCUCUCAACAAUAGUCUCGUUGCGCAUCCCCUACCUACAACCCCUGCUACUUAUAUUUCGGUCAACAACCAUGCGACUCAUCGGUUUGACAACAUCCUUCUCAGAAAAAGAGUUUUUGCUACUUUUUAUGCCAACAACUUUGUCGUGUAUUGAUAUAGCAACCUUUAUUUAUUCUUCAUAGUCUAAUAUGGCUACCUAUGCUACCCACAUCAGACUGGGGGGNNNNNNNNNNNNNNNNNNNNNNGGGGGGGGGGGGCGAAUCCAGUUAGGUAUAGCGUACUUUGGAGACACCUUUAGUACGGUUGUUAACGCUUGUGCAAAAUAGAUUAUGUACAUGGUUAUCACUAAUAUCCCAUAUGCGUGUGACUACAACAACAACUGCGUCGGAUAACAGUCUCAGGGACUGAAUGGCGGAGCGGGGCUGCUAUGCGGCAUGGUUAUCACUAAUGGUACUGGACUGGGGAGCGAGACGACCGAAGGAAAGUAUAUUGAACCUCGCAUGCGGAGCUUGCCGCUAUAACAUAGUCGGGCUGAGAAGCCAGGCGACUCAAGGUGAGGGUAUCGAACCUCGCAUACGGAGCUUGUUGCUAUAAUGGAGUCGGUCAGAGAAGUCAGGUGACUCAAUUCAAGGGUGCUGAACCUCGCAUGUGGAGCUUGUCGAUGUAAUGGAAUCGGGCUAAGAAGCCAGGCGACUCAAGGAAAUGGUACUGAACCUCGCAUGCGGAGCUUGCCGCUAUAAUGGAGUCGGGCUGAGAAACCAGGCGAUUCAAGGCAAAGGUAUUAAACCUCGCAUCCGGAGCUUGCCGCUAUAAUGGAGUCGGGCAGAGAAACCAGGCGACUCAAGGCGAGGAUGUUGGACCUUGUAGGCAACACUUAUUUUAUGUAAGGAAUAAUUACUGAGAAUUAUUUGGAGUGUUAAUGAGGGUUUUCAGUAUAGCCUUCACCGAAAUCCUUGAUUUCGAUCUUAAAACCUCAACCGAGAACCAGGUUCUCGGUCUUAUGGUGUUCUCGGACCAAGGUGUUUUUCGGCCAAUUGAAGAUUUGAAGAUUGUUCUUAGUGCUCUUUGUGAAAAUUAUGAGGAUUUGAAGGAUUUUCCUUGAAGAUUUUAAGGUUCUUGUAUGAUACUUGAGAGUAAAAUGGGAGUGUUUUCAAUUGAAAACAGUGAGAAAAUGACUUAUUUUUCCGGGAAAAAUAUAUAUAGCGGUUGGGUUUUCGGCCGAAAAGGCGUUUCGGUCCAAAGGGUUUGCGGUCCGAGGGUCCUCAGCCGAAAAGGGGUUUUCAGUCCAAGGUUUCUCAAUUCCAAAGGGAAGAAUGUUUAUUUUUAACUGUAUUUUAUUCCAAAUACCUAUAUAAAAACAUCAUUUAUAUAAUUUAAAUCAUAUUUAACCCUUAUGAUCUAAACCUAAUAAACAAAACUCAAAUUUUAUUUAAACGGGUUUGACUUUUAUUGACUUGAAAAAUAAUGGGUUGUUACAUUACCCCCCCGUUAGAGUGAAUUUCAUCUCGAAAUUCUUUCUAUAGUGAAUACAUCAUGGACUAGGGAAAAAGAUGUUGGUACUUUUGUUGCAUCUGAUCUUAUCGCUUCCAAGUGAAUUCAGGUCCCUGCUUGGCAUUCCAGCUAACCUUCACUAUUGGUAUGCGAAUUUGUUUUGUUGAUUUGACUUCCCUAUCCAUGAUUUCUACUGGUUCUUCCACAAAGUUAAGACUCUUGUUUAUCUCAAUUUCAUCAAGUGGAAUUACAAGAGUCUCAUCGGAUAGACACUUCUUUAUGUUUGACAAGUGGAAGACAAGGUUGACGUUGUUAAGUUCUUGUGGUAGAUAGAGUUUGUAAGCUAUUGGGUCGAUUCUAACGUGAAUCUCAAAUGGCCCGAUGUACCUUGGAUUUAGCUUUCCAUGCUUUCCGAAGCGUAUCAUGCCCUUCCAAGGUGAGACCUUCAACAGAACACGGUCACCCACCUGGAAUUCCAAGGGUUUUCAUCUCUUGUCUGCUCUGUGGUUUCUCGAAUGAUUUCCGGGUCAGUGAGAGUGCUAUCAGGUACUUGCCCUUUAGCUAGCUGUGAGUGGAGCAACCUUAAUGCUAGAGUGGUAACUAUUGUUGUAUGAAAACUCGACAAGUGGAAAAUGGUUAUCCCAUGCUUUACCAAAGUCGAUCACACAUGCUCUCAGCAUGUCUUCUAGUGUUUGAAUGGCUCUCUCACUCUUCCCGUCAAUUUGUGGAUGGUAGGCUGUGCUCAUGUCCAGCCUAGUUCCUCGAGAUUUUUGUAAUGACUGUCAAAAUCGCGAGGUGAAUCUAUUGUAUCUAUCUGAGAUAAUAGAUAUGGGCACACCAUGCAGUAGUACCCUCUUUUGGGCUCUUGCGAAGAUUGGCCCUUUCGUUUGUUUCAAAACUUCUUUUUGUUGCCACCCUCUUUAGGCUGUUCAGGAACGGCUGCUACGGAGUCUUGGCGAUCUCCGUGAUCCACUAGUGUCUGUGCCAGAUGCUUGGCACUAUCGAAAGUAAGUGGAUUGGCAGCUAGGACAUUUCCUUGAGUCGGGGGAGUCAGUCCUGAUAUGUACCUUUCCACCUUCUUACUCUCUGGGGUGACCAUCCCGGAACACAGAAGGGCCAGGUCACUGAACCUAGUAGUGUAAGCAACGAUAUCAGAGUCCUUCAUCUUUAGACUCCAGAGCCCAUGCUCUAGUUUUUUCAUUUCGCCCCUCGGGCAGUAUUCUACUAGCAUUAGCUCCUUUAAAUCAUCCCAACUCAUAGCAUUGGCUAUUGGGAGAGUCAAUGACUUGACUUGGUUGUUCCACCAAGUUAUGGCUCUGUCUGUGAAAGUGCAUACUACAAAUUUCACUUUGCUAGAUUUGGGGCACGCACAGAUUUCGAAUAUUGAUUCGGUCUUCUCGAACCAAUGGGUUAAAGCAAUAACACCUCCGGUGCCAUCGAAGGAUUUGGGUUUAGCAUUCGUGAAGUCUUUGUAUGAACACUCCCUUGGGUGUCCAUGACUAUCCCCGUGGUUAGAAGGGUUGGCACCACUACCUGCCCCGCUAGCGCCACUUGCAUUGAUCUGCGACAUAGUGGCAGCCCCGACGACUGUUACCGCUGCUUGGAAGACAGCAGGGUCAUACUGAGGAGGUGGUGGCGGUGUGGAUUCAUUGGAGGAUUGUUUUUCUUCCUGUUGGACUUCUUUAGAGGCCUCUUUCUCUAUAAUGAUUUAAGAGAAAAUGAUGAUAAGUCCUCUAUAGUGGUCAUGAGUCAAGUGAUAAUGAACAAGAUAUAUCAUAUCCUCACUAUUACAAUGUUCUAUUAAGCAAUUUACAGUGGAAGUCUACUAAUAUAAGUAAACAAUCGCUCACUUCAUUUAUAGCAACACUUGUAAAGAAUUUUGUAUAACGUGACUCACACUCGAUCCCUCUAUAGUCACCUAGUGUAUAUGAAUUAUGUAUAACUAUCAAGGCCUAAAUGUUCUUGUUCUAGUGUUGUAGGAUCAUAAAAUACUCAUAUAGUAUUCUAAAUUUUAUGUUUGGUUCUAGAGUUUCUCUCGGAUGUAUUGUUGGUAAGUUUUAGACUUGCUGCAACACCACUAUCACGCCCAAACAUAUGUUGGUCGUAUCUCAAAUAAAUAUAGUUGAUCAGACUAUAUUUAUCCCAGAUAUAAUUACAUAACUGUCAAGGUUUAACUGUAAUGUCCAACAUCUAAAUACUUCUGUAUAGUUCUUUAUGUGAUAUUGUUCCUGGUAUUUGUGUAUGUUUGUAUACUUCUUAUAAAAUACUUAGAUUUCAAAAGUAUACUUUUAGUCAGAUCACUUCGGCCCCAUUGUGUUUAUAGCUUUCUAUCUUGUAAGUUUUGAGAUACUUAGUUCACUAUAAACAAUGCUAUGAUACCAAUCUGUCACACCCCCAAACCGGAACGGCAGAAAUGUUUCGGGGGUGGAGGACGUCAUGUACAGUAUGACAACAAUUGCAUAAUAGUAAUCAAAGCAAACACAACCAUUACAUUGAUAGAAUAUAGUAUACAUAGUUUGUAUGACAUCAGAAGUGUAUAACAAAAGUAUAAAAGACGCGACUCUAAAAGAUCCGUCUUCUCAAAACCUGUGGGUGUACCUGUCUAUCGAUUCCUUUAAAAUACAAGUGGUUUUGAAAGUAUAUCAGCAUUUAAGUUGGCGAGUUCAUAAGUAUGUGUUUGAGAUGGAAAGCUUGUCUUUGUUCUUUGUAAAUGCUAUAGUGUACUUCCAGAAAAUCCAAUAUUUUCUUUAAUGAAUGAAAUGUAGUCUUAGACCUUAAGACCAAAAUGUAUGUAGUUACUGUAUUAUGAAUGGUGAACUGUACUUUGAAAUAGUGAACUGUAGUUUUAUUAAUAAAUAAAACUAUGUAAUGAAUGAUUAUUGAAAUUGUUGUUGUACUAGUGUACUUUGUACUAGAAAAGUAGUGUACUGUAGUGGUGUCUAUAGUAGUGUUUGUAGGAAAACCUUAUUGUAUGAAUGCCUGGAAUCUACCAGUUGUAGUGUAAAAUAGUGUACUGUAGUUUCAUUAUUUAAAAUAAAACCAAUUGAAGUAGUGUUAAUACCAUAAAAAAUGUUGUAGUUAUACUAUUGUGAGUUUCAUAUAACCAUGCUUGAUAUGACCUAGUGGCCUCUACGACGUUCUUCAGGUGUCAAAAUGUUAUGACAUUGUCACCCCAGGCCUGCCGGCCUAGCUGUUGCAAGCAGCUCAGGUGCAGGAUUGUCAGUCAUGUAUAGAUCUAUACACUAAUUCACACUCUUCCUCUAGGAGACUCUAGUUAUAAUUUAUAGGACUUGAACCGGUACCCUAAUGGGUACCCCGAAGUAGUGCCUCACAACCCUGUAUUAACUAGUUUACGUGUAGUGUAGUAGUGUUCUCUUGUACUUGAAACUGUAUGUAUUACCUUCUAGUAGUGUACCUUUUAGUGUAAAAUAAUUAUACUUAAAUAAUUAUUUAGUAAUGUAUCCUUGAAUGGGUGAAAUAGAGUAGUGUUCCAUAAACUAUACCUAUUAUAGUUUAUAUGUAUGUUCUUGUUCCUGUAUAGUGUUCUUUGAGCUUGUAAAAUAGUUUAGUGUCUUCCAAACUAUACCUAUUAUAGUUUGAAUGUAUGUACUUGUAUUGUUUAUUGAACUUAGCAAAAUAGUGUGGUGAUUCAUAAACUAAACCAACUAUAGUUUUAAUGUAUACCUUGUAAUGAACUGAAGCAUUUGCAAUUUAAUAGUGUGUAUAAAGCGGUAGUAAUAGAUUUAUGAAAAAUACCCUUUUGCUCGACAUACUACAAAAGGGUUUAAAAUAUAUAAAAUAUAUUUUGAUAAAUGCAACGAAAAAUCGGAUUAGGAACAAUUGCAAAUGGUUUGAAAUAGUUUGGAUGUUAACACAAAAAUUCUUCUGUGUAACUUGUAUCCCCCCCCCCCCCCAAAAAAAAAAAUGAAAAUAGUGAAAGCGUAGGGGUAUGAACUCACCUGUAAUGUGUGUUUGAGUCUGGAUACUGAAACUGUAGAGAUGAUCCUCGGGCUAGUGUGCGUGGAAAUAACGGUAUCCUAAUAUUAUAUAAACACGUAAUCGUAUUUAAAUUAGUGAAAUAAUUAAUUAAAGUGUUAGGCAACACUUAUUUUAUGUAAGGAAUAAUUACCAAGAAUUAUUUGGAGUGUUGAUGAGGGUUUUCAGUCUAGCCUUCACCGAAAUCCUUGAUUUCGGUCUUAAAACCUCAACCGAGAACCAGAUUCUUGGUCUUAUGGUGUUUUCGGUCAUGAACGAGUUCUCGGUCCAAGGUGUUUUCGGCCAGUUGAAGAUUUGAAGAUUGUUCUUGGUGUUCUUGGUGAAAAUUAUGAAGAUUUAAAGGAUUUUCCUUGAAGAUUUGAAGGUUGUUGUAUGAUACUUGAGAGUAAAAUGAGAGUGUUUUCAAUUGAAAAAGUGAGAAAAUGACUUAUUUUUCGGGGGAAAAUAUAUAUAGUGGUUGGGUUUUCAGCCGGAAAGGCGUUUUCAGUCCGAGGGUUCUCGGUUCCAAAGGGAAGAAUGUUGAUUUUUAAGUGUAUUUUAUUCCAAAUACUUAUAUAAAAACAUCAUUUAUAUAAUUUAAAUCAUAUUUAACCCUUAUGAUCUUAACCUAAUCAACAAAACUUGAAUUUUAUUUAAAAGGGUUUGACUUUUAUUGACUUAAAAAUAACGGGUUGUUACACUACUGCUCAGGCCCCCAACGAAAAGUGACAGCCUUCUUUGUCAGUCAAGUCAGAGGAACCACUAUAUUGGAGAAGUCCUGAAUGAACCUCUGGUAAUAACCUACAAACCCAAGGAAACUACGAAUCUCAGAUGGCGAUCUCGGAACCUCCCACCUCAUCACGACCUCGGCCUUUGCCGGAUCGACCAGAAUACCAUUCCGGUUGACAAGGUUCCCCAAAAACUACACCUCGUGUAACCAUAACUCACACUUGGAGAACUUCUCAUACAGUCUCUCCCUCAUUAGGGUCUCCAACACCUCCAUUAAAUGCUCCUCAUGUAGGUACUGGGUCUUGGAAUAGACUAGAAUGUCAUCGAUGAAUACAAUUACAUACCGAUCCAACAUCGGUCGGCACACGCAGUUCAUGAGGUCCAUGAAUGUGGCUGGAGCAUUGGUGAGCCCAAAGGGCAUCACCACGAACUCGUAAUGAUCAUAACGAGUCUGGAAGGCCGUCUUGUGCAUAUCGUCCUAUUUGACCCUCAUCUAAUGAUAAAAUGAAUGAAUAUCAAUCUUGGAAAACCAAGAUGCACCCAAAAAUUGAUUAAACAAAUCAUCAAUCCUUUGGAGUGGAUGACAGUUCUUCAUCGUUAGCUUAUUCAUCUCCCGGUAGUCAAUACACAUCCAAUGUGACCCAUCCUUCUUCUUCACAAACUAGAUCAGCACACCCUAAGGCGAACUAAUUGGUCGGAUGAACCCUUUGUUUAACAGCUUCAACAUCUGUGUAGACAACUCCUGCAUCUAUGGUGGAGCUAACUGAUAUGGUGCUUUGGCUAUCGGAGCUGCACCAGGAACCAAGUCAACCCGGAACUCCACCUGUCUCUCCGGAGGCACUCCAGGAAAAUUCUCCGAAAACACAUUCGGGUACUCCCGAACAAUCGACACAUCAUCAACCGACGCCUCACCCUUCUCCUGGGUAUCCAUAACAAAGGUGACGAAACCAGAACAACGCUGAUGAAGAUAGUGUUUGGCCCUAGCGGCUGAUCAUAGGACCGGCCCACAUUAAACACCCUAUUGAUGGACCACCAACUCUCCCCCACUUGGGUCCGAACACGCAUCAUCUGACAUUCCGCAUCAUCUGACAUGCUCACAAUUAAUCACUGUUCCAUUGGGGCUUAGCCAAUUCAUCCCCGCUAUAACCUUGUUCCCGCACAAAGGAAUCGGAACCAAGUCAAUCGGAUAUUGCUCACUGAAAUAUCUAGAACACAAUCCCGAUGAACCCUCGACGGAUCGAUCAUCCGCAAUCUCCACCUCUAAUGGAUGAUCCAACUCUCCCAUAGCUCCAUCAAACCUCUUCUGAGUGCAAGAGACACGAAAGAUCGGGUAGCCCCCGAAUAAAAUAAUAUCAAAGCAGAGAUGUUGUUCACAAGGAACGAUCCUAAAACAAAAAAAAACAAAUAUAAGCAGAGCAAUAAACAUAAAUAAAGAUUUAAGGAGAAGAGACAUACCCUUCGCCACAUCUGGUGCAACACGCGCCUCCUCGACAGUCAGUUGAAAAACCAUGCUCCUCACAACGGGGACAUCCGCCUUGCCCUUGCCGCCAUCAGUAAUCCGUAGGGUCGUUGGAGUAUACGCUACUAGUGGUCAUCCUAAUGCUAAACUAGGGUAGUUGGCCUUCUUGUGGACCCUCUAAUUGCAAUGAAAUAAAAUCAGAUCCGAUGUGUGGGUGGUAGUGAUAAGAGCAGUGAAAUCCUUGCCAAAGUACCCCGUCUUGCCGCACUUGUAGCAACCCGAACCACCCGCUCUGCAAACCCCCAUCAUGUGACAUGCCGCAUUUUCCACAGUGGAUCCAAACCUACUGGCUCCGCCUUCCUCUUCCAUAUGUGCUCCAAAUCAAUCUCUCGCUCCAGCGCCUAGAAUAUCAUGUCAUCCAAAGUCGGGUAGGCAGAGAAAGUAACGAACUCCCUGUUGGGUUUUGAGCAUUCUAACACCCCUAAGUGUACAUGCAACCUUAAAUACCUUGGAUCUAUGUUUUCUCUAUUAUACAUGCAAAUAUGAAUAUUCCAAGGUAUUAUCCUAACUAGCAUACAAAACAUUGAUUCAUAUGUAAUAAAGCAAGUUACAAGACAUAACUUUUGAUAUAGUUUGAUUCCAUGGAGCUUAAGAGCCUAGUGCCUCAAGUGUGACACCUCAAAUGGUUCACACAACACCAAUACACUUAGAAUAACUUGAGAGAAAUGAGACACUUCAUGAAAUCGGCUAGCCCUCACCAUUCCUUCAUAGUGGCCGAUUUUUUUUGGGAAGAAUAAGAUGCUUAUAUAGUGUGUCACAAUUAGGGUUACACCAUGUAAACCCUAUUUAUCAUGGCCUUUCGUUUCCAUGAUCCAUGUGUACAAAACACCAUGGAGCAUCCUAUGGGUUUUAGCCCAACUUGAUAAUCCGUGGAGCAUUAGCCCACUAUACAAGUUUGGAUGAUUUACACACCCAACCCAUAUAUUUAAUUAGUCUCCUUUUGAUCACUUAAUUAAUUCCAAAUUAAUUCUUGAUCAAUACUAAUUAAAUAAUCUUAUCAAUAUAUUAGAACUUAUAAUAUAUUAACAAACCUUAAGUGUUAUUUCUCUCAUUUUAUUCUAUCCAGUUGCAUGAUGCCAUGAAACCCAAAUGGACCACGCCAAUCGGGUCAAGUACAUACCAAAUAUAUUUAUGGACUUACACACUAAUCCAACACUCCCUGAUGUCAGAUCUCAGCAUAUCAUGGUACUGGGUCUUCGUCAUCUCCUCAUCAUCCGCAUACUGGGGUACCAAAUAAGCCCUCUCCUUAAAAUUGGCGGUGAUAUUCGCCACAGUCUCAGUUGUAUGCCUCAUGUUAAGAAACUCCCUAGAUAACUAUUUCACCUCAACAACUGGUGCAAACUCUACUCGAAACCAGGUCACAAAAUCUGGCCAGGUCAUGGCCUCAAUGGCUGAAACUCCCAAAGCAUAGCCGACCUCCUCCCACUAAUCUCGAGCUCGCUCCCUCAAACAUCCUGCAGCGAACCUCACCUUCGACCCUUCAGGGCACAAGCUCCUCAUUUGAGCACACUUAAUGUCAGCUAUCCAAUGCCUGGCUAUGAUGAGGCCCCUUACCAUAAAGAAAUUUGGUUCCCCACAUCCCCUGAAAUCGUUGAAGGAGAGAGUACGGGCCCCAGAUUCGCUAUCGUCCAGAUCGGCCUUGAAGACCCGAAGGCAAUCCUCCAUCAGCUCGAUGAUACCCUCAUUGAUCAACCUGAACAUCAUCGGGUCGCAUCAGGGAUGCCUCUCGUAACCUUAAAUGCAAUGAACUCAUGUAGCCUCUCAUCAAUAGGUUUGGUGCUUGUAACCAAACCAAAUCCAUAUCUUGAACCCCCUGCUUCGUGAUAUGUAACCACCAUACUGAAACAUAACCACAUAAACAAUUAGCACACACACAAGAAGGUUCACACUCUUGAGUUCCCUAGAUUCAUCGUGGUCUUCCUAGUCUCAGGUAUAUAUCAUGUGCUUUCAGUAGUAUAUGGGCCCAAUACUACCUUCCACACCUAUUUAUACCCUCCUCAAGGACUACCUCGACUCCUCCAAGUUGCUCUUCCCAACUGGUACAUUCCUCAAACUAUUAGGCAUCUUACACACCAAAGCAUCUCUUAAGGAAUCCCUAAGACUCCCCUUCCUCACCCCUCUCUACUAUCAUCUGCAGAAGGAACUUCCACAAAUACUACCUAACUACUACAUGAACACAAUUACAUACUACUAGUACUAGAUAACUUUUCGAAUGACAGGUUCCACCCUACAACGGUUGGACUCAAACAAGAGUUGUGAAAUAGAGUUAAACCUAUCUUUCUAAAACUAUACAAUCACAAUAAUAUGUAAUCCAACACAUUAAUCCACUAAUUAGCUAGUACCAACAGAAUUUCCUAAAGCACAAAGCAUGCAGCAUUUGGGCAUCAGGCAAUUCAAAUCAAAACAUACCAUGUAUAGGCCAUCCUAACAAGUACUGAUCUGAUACUAGCAUGCGAAUCUAUAAGCUCAACAAAUAGGCACAUAGAGGCAUCUCUCAUAACAUUCUAUCAUGCUAUUAUGAAGAGAUCCCUACCCCCUAAUCUAGCAUGCAAUUCUCACAUAAUAGAAUAGAACAUAUAACUUGUAUGGGUAUUUUGGGAAGACUUACUUGAUCUUGACUGAUUGCACGCAUCGCACCCCUUUUCUUUUAUUAAAACCCUUAGAAUAAAACAUUUCUUUUUAUGGAAAAAAAUCUACCAAACCCUCAAUUUGAUUCCAUGCACACCCGAGAGUAUGCCCGGAUCCCUCAAACCAAGACUUUGAUACCAACUUCUAACAUCCCAAAAUACAGGUACAUUUUUCUUUAAAUUCAUUCAAACAUACGAUACUCAUAUCCAAUCAGUCAAAGGUGUAUCAUGGAAACAUAUUAUCAGAGUACAAAUUCUCAAAAUGCAGAAAUCAUAGGGUGAUGCGGUGCGAUCAAGUCGGGACCUUCCCAUUCGAAGUGGAAAUACAGGAAACAUAAAGUAAAAACUAUAAGUGCAAAACUUAGUGAAUUCCCCAAAACACCUCAUACCAUACAAACAUACAGGCAAGCAUAUAUGGGUGCUUUCACUUCCUUCGGUCUAUUUCAACCGGAUGCUAUCAAGCAUAUAUGGGUGCUUGCAAUCCCCUUUGGUCUAUUUCAAUCGGAUACUGUCAAGCAUAUAUGGGUGCUUGCAAUCCCCUUCGGUCUAUUUCAACCGGAUAUUAGGUCUAUUUCACCCCUACAACUACCUUAUAAUAUCAUAACAAAUGAACAUAGAGCCAUCAAGCAAACACAAGUAUAACUGACAGUUGUCACGGAGUCAACCAUCAUACUACAACAUAAACUAGUGACCCGACAUUGGUGCCUUCGACCCACAGAUACAGUGAAAGAAACUCACCUCAGACUAAAGGUAUCACAUCGCACUCAACGGAUGACUCGCAAAAUCCUCUCCCUAAGGCACAAAUAUAAAACCCUAAUUAGAAAUUAGGCCAAUAUUCCAACCCGACAGUCCAAACCCUCAUUUCUGACUUUAAGGCAAAAAGGGUUUCUUCACCCAUGCCUCAUUGGGCCUUCCUCCCAAAAAGGCCCAAAUCCAUACAAGUCCAAGAAGGCAUCCAAGGACAAGUAUAAUGCCUUUAAUGCCUAAUAUGGCCCCAGAGUACCUAACUGUUGGAUUAAUGUCUAAGUCCAUAACUAUAUUUGGUAUGUACUUGACCCGACCCGGCAUGGUCCAUUUGGGUUGCACUUCUCCGACACAAUUUAUAUGGAUAAUCUUUUAAGAAUAGUAUGUUUAUGAUUAAUAUUAAUAUAUUAUAAGUUCUAAUAUAUUAAUAUGGACUCAUAUUAUUUAAUUAGUAUUGAUCAGGAAUUAAUUUAGAAUUAAUUAAGUGAUCAAAUGAACUAAUUAAAUAUGGACUCUUGUAUAUAUGGAAUGGGCCAAGUUCAUUUAGGUUGGGCUAAGCUUUCAUGGAUAGUCCAUGGAGUGUUUAACCCAUGGAUCAUAUGAAAUGAAAGGUCAUGGGUUUAACCCUAGUCUCCAUACUAUAUUAAGAUGUCCUUGGUUGGUGAAAUGGGCACUAGUGUGGAUACACUAAGAAGGGCUAGCCAAUUUCACAAGAGAAAACCAAGUAUCCAUAUUCUCUAAAGUAUUCCAAGGUGUCUUGGUGAUUUGUGAUUCCACUUGAGGCUUCCACACUAUUGGGGCUAAGCUCUUAAAGCUUGAAGACAUCAAGCUACAUCAAGAGGUAUGUAUUCUAUCUUGUUACAUUCAUAGUUUUUGUAUGCUAGAUUAGGAUAAUACCUUGGAUGUUCUUAUUUGCAUGUAUAAUAGAGAAAACAUAGAUCCAAGGUAUUUAGGGUUGCAUGUACACUUAGGAAGUGUUAGAAUGCUCAAAACCCAACAGUGGUAUCAGAGCCACGGGUUGUUUUCUGUUAUAUUGAUGCAAAUAUUUUAUUUUCAAAGUUGAAAAAAAAAAGAAAAAAAAACAUGAAGUUCGUCAAAUUUUAAGAUAAUUACUUGUUCUUGUGAAAAACUAAUUAUUUGUAAAAUUUGAAUAAUUUGCUUUAUGAGUUGAAUUAGGUCAAAUUUAAUAAAAGAUAAAAUAAUAUGAUUAUUUUAUUAGUUUUAAAAGUUUGAUCUAAAGAGUUUUAUUUUUUGAAACCUCCAUAAGUUAUGGAUAUGAAAAGGUUUUAAAAAAAAAAUUAAUUCAAAGUUUUUUUGGAGUUACAAAAUUUGGUGUUAAUGUUUUAAAGGAUUCCAUAACUUAAGAAUAAGUUAUGGAUCACCAAAAGUUUUUUGUGUUACCUUGUUUUAUGAGUGAAUUUAGAUUAAUGAAUAAAAUUAUG
Molecule: long non-coding RNA, 56396 nt
Filed under: Lactuca sativa (garden lettuce)
Lineage: Eukaryota; Viridiplantae; Streptophyta; Magnoliopsida; Asterales; Asteraceae
Description: long non-coding RNA (LSAT_LNC003832)
Source: RNAcentral